GUAAAAAUGGUGUCCUCUAUCAUCACAUAAUGUAUCUUGAAAUCCAAGCAUUUUGCAGUUAUAAAAAGCUGCCUUAUCACCACUAACUCUCAAUGCAACUGCCUGAGCUCCCGGCUUUUUCGAAUUAGGUCCUGGUGCAGUAUUCUAUAUCAAAGAAAGAAAUGAAAUAAUAAAUCACAAGAACAAAAAUUAUUAAGCAAAAUAAAGUGAUAAUUAAGGCAUAUGCAUGUAUAUGUAUGCUUAUAUGUAAAUACCUUAAAAAUAAUAUUAACGGCCAUGAAAUAAUUAGGCUCUAUAGCUACGGAAGCACUGGCAAGAGUUCCAUACUCAUGAGCGGUGCCACCAAAUGCCAAGGUGGGCGUGGCUUUAGGAUCUCCAAGGAAAGUAAUAAAAUGCUUAGUUCUUUCGAUUUGGAUCUUCUCAGUGUAGACUCCAGGACCAAUUUUUAUAAUUACACGUUGUUUAUUGUUUAACGGAACACUAUUAAUGGCAUCAGUAACUGUCUUAAACUCUCCUUUUCCAUCUUUUGAUACUAUAAUUAUUCUGGAUUUAGCCUCAGCAGCUUCAAGAGCAGGAUCUAAGGUGCCUUUACGACUUCUCCAAGGUUUAACGUUUGUUUGAAACCAAUUACUUACCUUAGAAUCGUCGGCUGGUAUUGGUGUUAUAUCAUCAGAGCUAACGGUGGUUGCAACAACAAGAAUGGCAAUGAGGACACAAUAAGUUGCAUCAAUAUAUCGUCCUCUUACCAUUCUGUAGUUACUUCCUCCCGUUGAUUUAUUUGUUCAGAGUUCUUUGAUUGGUUGCUUGCUUUUUUCUUUACUAAACGAUUCUAAUUUAUAGAAGUAUAAAAUACUUUAUAUAAAAAAUACUUAAAAAAGUGAGAAUAGGAGAAUUUAGCGCAUUUAUAUAGCUAAAAAUAGACAAAGUGUUAAGAUGUCACGAUCUCUAUUGCCUUUUCCGUUUUUAUUUCAUGAUCAUAAGAAAAGUCCAUUCAACCAAAUAUAUAGGAUCUAUUCUCUUAAAAUGAAAAGAAAAGAUAAGAUAAAAGUAAUUAAGAGUCGAUGAUCAACCAUUUAAUUAAUUAAUCAAUUCAUUAAUAUAUAACCGAUAUUUUAAAUUUUGUUAAAAAUUAUGUAGAAACAUUUCAUAUCUUAGGUCAAUUGAAACUUUAAAUGAAUAUAUGCUAAUUAUGAGUCAAACCAAACAAUGAGAUGAUCUUAUUGGUGGAACAUUUACCAUGUAAAGAUAAAUUUAGCAGUAUAUUUUAUUCCUUCCUUCUCAUAAUUUUUAUUUAUUUUUUAUUUUUUAUUCUUUUAAUUAUUUUAAAAUUAUUCUUCAUUUACUUUUUAAUCGACAAUAAUAUAUAAAUUAACUAUUAUAAUCUUAUUUAAUUUUAUUUUAUUUCUAAUAAAUCUUUUAAAAUAUUUUUUAAUAUUUAAUAAAAUUUAAUAUACUUAUAAUGCAUAUAAUUGAAAAGUUAAUAAAAAAUAUACUUCUUAAUUUAUACUUCUUAAUUUAUAUAUAUAUAAAUAAAAUAAAUAAAAAUCAUGAGGUGAAAAAGUAAAAGUUCAAUAUUUACAUCGUUUUGCAUUUUAAUUUAAAUAUUUAAAUUUUAGAUAAAUUAACUUAAUAUUUACAUUUGAUUAUAAUUUUUAUUAAUUUUUAAAAUUUAAAAUUUGAGAGUUGAAAUGAGAUGUUAAAUAUAAUAUUUUAUUGUUUAUUAAAUGUAAACCAAUUAUAUAUAUAUAAAUAAUAUUAAUACAUACUUAAUUGUAGUUAACUAAUAUUUUUAAUUUUAAAAAUAAUGAUAAUCUAACUGUAUGAAUUUAGUUUUACAGCAAUGAUUAAGGAAAAUUUGUAACAUAUAUGUUAUUUUUAUUAUUUUAUAUAUAAAUAUAUGCUAUUUUAAAUUAAUAAUAUAUUUAUUAUAACAUACUUAUGAUUAUUGAUGUAAAAUAAAAUCUAUUAAUAUUGAAGGUGUGAAUGACAUAUUUGCUAAUUGUGUAGUUUAUUUUUUAAUUUUGAUUUUAAAAAUGAAUUAAAAUUACAUCUAAAUAUAAAGUCAAUUUAUCUAAAAUUUAAAUAUUUAAAUUAUAAUACAAAAUGAUAUAAAUUUAGAGUAUUUUUCAUCCAAUUGGUUUUGUUUUUAUUGUGUAUCAACUUUUUUCUAUUUUUUAAUUUCUUUAAUUUUAAAUUUUAAAUUAUUUAACUUUAAUUUGGAUUCCUUUCUAAUUAAAAAGAUUGGAGAAAGAAUAAAUUUUGUAACUAAUAACAGAAAUUUAUCUAAUAAAUCAAAUAAAAAAUCACAAUUUUUCUAAUGCAAUGGCCCCAAAAGAACCAACUUACUAAAAGAUAAUAACUUUUUUCUUUUAUCAGAUGUAUUCAUUGAUUUAGUAUAAAAUUGCAUGGAUUAAGGCUCUAACAUAUACAACCAUGAUUUUUAAAACCCGGCUUAAGAAAACAUACGGGACGAAUCUCAGAAAAAGAGAGAAAAAAUGACAGAAAAUGGAUACAAGAAAAUUGUCGCCGGGAUUGCUUUGGAAAAACUACUGAAAAGAUUUCAUAGAGCGUAAGAAGGAGAAAGGUGAGAAGAAAAUUAUAGUCUACAACUUUCGGUCUUUAAUAGUCAAGGGUGGCAGCCAAAAAUGAACUAUUGACUUUUAAUCUCUUGAGAUGACCUCCUUCUCUAACCCAACAAGCAAAAGCACUUCUUUGAGGCAGUUGUUCCUCAAAAUUGCAAGGCAAUAGAAAUUUGUAAACACUAAAGAAAAGAAAACUCAUACAGCAAAAGUGAAAAUAAAUUUGCAUGACACUCUCUUUUUAUGAAACUCAAAUCUAUUUGGAAAAAAAAAAUCAAUAAAAUAAUUAUUUACAUUCAUCGAUAACGAAAUGAGUGAAUCCUCAAUCGAUAAGGAAAAGGUUGGUCUCUCAUGACAAAUGAGUAGGAGAAAACUGUAAUACCCGGCUAGAGUCCGGCGUCGGAAGUCCUGUAGUCCGAUGGACUUUCUGAUGUCGGAAUCCUCUGGAAGGGUACGGAUUAUAUUUUUCUAUGUUUUGAAAGCGUUUUCAUGUUUUAAAGUGAUUAAAGAAGUAAGGUUUUGCAAGAAAAGCACCAAGGCAGAAAAGCCAAGGUUCGGCCGCCGAAAGUGACUUUCGGCCGCCGAACGUGCAUGGCAUUCGGGUUCUCAUUCGACCGCCGUAAUUGGUCUGGCUAGCCAACUAUAAAAGGCCCUAGGUCGGUCAAAUGGAUAAGAUUUUCUUUCCAUUUGCAUGAGCUGAUGUGAGACUUGAUCUUCCUUGAGUGAUUUAUGUGUUUUCUCAAAUCUUUCAUGGUUUUGAUGGUUUUUCAUGUGGUUUUGAAGUUUUUGAGACAAAGAGCAAGGUUGGAAGCUUGGAGAGUUUGAGAGAGGAUUUCUCCACAUCUCCACGUAGGGAUCGUUCAAUCUCUUGUUUGGAAGAGGUAAGUGAAGAUCCUGAACUUCCUUUCUUGAUUUUGAAGGUUUUAUGGGAGUUGUAUGGGUAGUUAUGCAUGUUUAGAUUAAGGGAGGUUUUUGAGGAUUUUUGGUGUAUCAGCAUGGUUAAGUGUUAUUUGAUAUGUUUGUUGGAGGUGUUAGGAUAGGUUUAGACCUCUUUAUGCAUGUUAUAUGGUAUAUGCUAGUUGGGAGUAGUUGCUAUGCAUGUUGGAUAGGUUUUGGGUGAAGUUUGCAUGAAACAGAGCAGGUUUCUGCCCAAAGGGCAAAACCAGGUUCGGCCGCCGAAGGAAGGUUCGGCCGCCGAACCCCUUGUGGAGGCAGUUUCGGCUGCCAAAUCUUGCCCCCGAACAAUUGGACUUUCGUCUCUGGAGGCAAGGUUCGGCCGCCAAAAGUGCCGCUGAAGGUUGAGUUUCGUCUCUGGACGAGACUUUCGGCUGCCAAAGGUGCCGCCGAACAUGCAUGAGUUUCGUCUCUGGAGGGGAGUUUCGGCCGCCGAAUCGGCCGCCGAACCUGCCGCCGAAAGUGCCCUGUCCAGCUUUUUUUUGCAUGCUUGAUGUGAUUGUUCUAGGAUGCUUUAGAGGGUUUUUGGGGAGUUUCUUAGAGAUGUUCUUGAGUUCGUUUGGUCCCUCAUUUCAGUCCACCUGUGUAGGAACGGACCAGAGGAACCAAGGAGUUCAGCAGUGAGCACUGCUUCAGAACCUGCAGAGUCAGUACUGAGUCAGCCAGAGGUGAGUGGAACUGAACUAAAUCUUUUAAUCUGAGCACUCAAACAUUUUUAGCAUGUUUCAUGCAUCAUUUAUGCCAUGUUUAUAGUAUUGCAUUAGUGAGCACAAAGAUGUUGCAUUAAUCAGUGCACGUACAGAUCGGGCGUAGCUUGGAUUCAUUAGCCCCCUAAAUGAAGACCUGAGGAGCCCUGAAAGGGCUGGGUACACGGUACCAUAGGGUGCUGAAUGAAGACCUGAGGAGCUCCUUCGCGGGCCGGGCAAUGUGGGGGAAUUUUGAAUUAGUCCGUCUGAGAUUAUGUGAUUUACUUGUGAUGUGAUGCAUUCCAUGAGAUCAUGUUUCUAACAUGUUUUAUAUGUCCUACUCACUGGACUAGUAUAGCUCACCCUCUCCCUUAACCCCAGUCUUGCAGGUUCAGGGUCCAGAGGUGUCAGCAGGGUACAGAUGGAGAAGAGUUAUGUAAUAGCUAGUAUGGACAUGUAAUUGUAAAAGAUAGGUUAUGUUGUAGAGAUGUAUAGAUGAUGCUUGACCCUAUGAGUUGUAAUCCCUUUUGUAUAUACAUGGUCUGUUAUGAAAAUGAUUUUAUUGUAUAUGUAUGAAAAAACCAGGCUUAACAUUAUAUGAGUUGACCCGCCUAGAGCAAAGAUGAGAGCUCUAGCAGGGGUUUUACAGAACAGAGAUAGAGUAUGCACAGGUUAAGCCUUGGAACAGAGAAAAGUUUUAAUGUUUACCGAAAAUGUAUGAUCAUGUAUGGGAUUUCACAGGUACACAGAGUUCACAGCAGGCUUGCUACGGGUCCCGGCGGCCUUAAGCCGAUCUGGAUCCUAGCGCCGGUAGCAGUUCGGUUUCCGGGCUGUUACAAAAACUAAUAGAAUGACAAACAAAAGGAUUGUAACCCUAAACAAAAAGGAAAAAUAGUAGGGAGAGUUCUAAUUAAAAAGUUAAUCCAUCGAUUUUAAAUAACGGUAGAAUUUGAAAAUAACCUUUCUCAUAAAAUAUCAUGUGCAAAGAGCAAUACGUUUUCAAUUUAUGAAAUUAUAAUAAAGAAUAAAAAUUUUAAUAUAAUUCUAAAUAUAAUUUUAAAAUAAAACUACUUCUAUAUUAUUUAUGUAAGAAUAAUAUUAAUAAAUAAAUUAAAAUUAUGAUUUUAAUGGAACAAACUAAAAUUAUAUAAGAUAUUAAUUUGAUUGAUUUUGGAAUUUUAAUGGUUGUGGGCUUUAAAGCUUAUAUAUGCUAAUUAUGAAUCAAACCAAAUAAUGAAAUGGUCUUAUUGUGAGACCUUACUAUGUAAAAGUCUUAUAGAGCUUUUUUUUUUUUUAAGUAAAACUACUAAUUGUAUUAAUAAAAUUUCAUUAAAUAUCGAAGGAUAUCAUUCCAAAUAGAGAGACGAUUAUGUCUAAUAGAUUCUCUAGUCAAAGUAUGAGCAGUUAGAGUAGUAUUACGACGAACCUAUCUAACAGAAAUAUCAGUUUUAGAGUCUAACAAAAAUUUACAAUCAUUCAAAAUCAAACUCCUGCAUAAGAUAAUUUGGCAAAAAUACUUCUCAAGUGACUGUCUAAACCCUGCAUAAGAUAAUUUGGCAAAAAUGCUCCUCCUUCUUUCUCAUCUCUCGAGCAUAAAUCAUUAAAGUCUUCCAAAGCCACGGAAGAGAGCUUCUACGAGAUAAAGCUCUAAUAAAGUUCCAAGACUGACGUUGUCGUUGCAAUUCCAGAAACCCAUAAUAACUAGUAAACCCCAUUGAACAUUACCUUCCGAAAUAACCGAAUCAAUAAAAUUUGAAAAAAAGCCAACCACAGAAAUAGACACAUGACUCUUCCACAUUAACGUAAGGCCUCCUUCUCCAAUCAUUAUCUAUUGACUGAGAAGCAACCAUCAAAAUAUAAAAAACUACGAAAAAUUUUCAUAUGAGAACUAAGAGUUUUUGUUUCCAUUAAAAAUAAAAUGUCCGACUUGUAACUAGUAACCAAAUCCUUCAAUACAUUAACUGUCCGAGAAUUGCCGAGUACUCGGCAGUUCCAACACAGGACGAUCAUUGCUUUCGGCUAUCCCGACCUUUGACGGGAUGAGCCGCUUCACUGUUGCCUAUCAAAUUAAUAUUCGCAGGGGUGUUAUUAGAGACAUCCUGUUGAGAGGAAGGAAAACCUGUAACAACGUUAUGUUUAGUGUUUUUUGGCCUUUUUUUAGUAUCAUAAUUUAUUCGGGCUGCAAUCUCAUCAAGCUUAUCAGGGACAACAACAUCCCCAUCAAGCUUAUCAGGGACAACAACAUCCCCCUCUAAAGAAUGCUAUAAAUCUGCUAAAGAGGUCUGCAUAUUCUAAAAAUUGAUUGGAUUAUAUGUGAGAAACAUCUCCAACAUACAGAAAUCAUAAGUGACGAUCGGAAUAUCUCUGGAGCUCUUGAUAGGGACAACAAUAUUUUCUUCAUCGAUAGUCAAUUGACGCAUAUCGUCUUCCAUGGAGAAAGGGAAAUAAGAAGUUAGGUUUAAGGAAGAGAAAAAGACGAGAACAUUGAGUUAGAAAGGGACCAUAGAAGGAAACUUGCAUUGAAAGUAAGUAAUUAUUAAAUUUAAACUCCUAUUUAUAGAGUUGCCUUUAAAAUUAGAUAAUUUAGUAGAUUUUUUUAGUAUAGUGUAUUAUAUAUAGUAAAAAUUAAUUUUUUUUUACAAUAAUUUUAAAUUAUUGUAAUUAUUGUAUUAAUAAAAUUAAGAUAAUAAUUUCACAUUCACUAUUAAAUAUUAUUAUCUAAAUACUCAAAUAUUAGUAUUAUAUAUANNNNNNNNNNNNNNNNNNNNNNNNNNNNNNNNNNNNNNNNNNNNNNUAUAUAUAUAUAUAUAUAUAUAUGUAUAUGUAUAUGUAUGUAUGUAUUAUAAUGUGAUAAGAAUAUUAUCUUUAUUAUGUAUUAACCUUUUCUCUAUUUUCUAAUUUCUUCAGGUUUGAGUUUAAAAUUAUUUAACUCUAAUUAUAAUUCCUUUUUAAUUUAAAAAAUUGGAGAAGGAAUAAAUUUUGCAACUACCAACAGAAAUUUAAGUAAUAAAUCAAAUCAAACAAAAUUGCAAUUUGCACAAUAUCUAUAGUUUUAAUAAUUUCAAAAUUUUAAAAGUUUAAUUAACAUGAUUAAAUUAAAUGAUUAUGUUAGAUUGUGUUUUAAAAAUGAUCAAUUAUUAUAUUAUAAAUUAAAUAUUAAAUUAAAAUUAAUUAAUUAAAAUAUAGAAAAUUUUAAAAUAACUCAAAAUUUUUUUAAAAAAUUAGAAAAAUAAAACGCUGAAUAUAGAGUAAAUCUUGAACUUUCUCUUUGUUUCAAUUUUGAUAUAGAUAUAUAGAUAAACCACAGUAUGAAGUAUACGACAUUUUAAUAAUUAAAUUAAAUUUGAAGUUAGUUGAGUUAAAAAAAAAUUAUAUAUAUUUAAAAAAAAUCAUAUAAAUCCUUAUCUUUUCAACAUCAAAACAUGAAGAGCAUAUAUUUUUUAAUUAGGCAAAAAAUAUAUUAAAAGACGUGAAAUUUGCUCUAUACAGUGAGAAUAAAAAUAUUAAAUUUUAUUUGUUUAGUAUAAAUUUAUUUUUAAAUUAUUAUGAAAAAAUAUAUAUAAUUGGAUUCAUUAUUCGGUUUAUUAUUGUUAACUUUUAAGAAAAAUUAAAUUCAAUCAAUAUAAUCGAAAUGGUUUGGUUGUUUAACAUUCAAAUUCGAAUAAAAUUCAAAUGUUUUAAAAAUAGUAAAUCGAAAUAAAUUAAAAAGUAAAUUAAAAUUUAACUAAAUUUUUUAAUUUAAUUAUUUUUUUCGGUUAUUUCGAUUUUAAUUGAAUAGUGCGCGCUUCAAUUAUAUUUAUGUAUAGUUGUCCAACAAGUGUUUGAUACAUUUGCAUGAUUCACUGAAGUUGGAAUGCUGCUGGUAGGGGCUCAGCUAUGGAACCCGCUAGUGUUAAGUUUUCAAGUGCAAUCAUUGAAAAUUAAUUGGGUUUCACUAAAUCAAUGGAAUUUACAACUGGAAUCUCGCAUUCGCUCAUUUGAUGAUAAAUGAAUCCUUAAAAUAAUUACAAGUUUAAUUUAUAAUGAGACCCUUCAUCAAAUAUGAUUUAUGAAUUUUAAUUAAUUAAUUAGUUUAUAUACCAGGUUUGAUAAUGUAAGAAUUUUCUUGUAUAAAUUGAAUAUCAUUUUUUGUAAUUUAAUGCAAUUAAUUUUCUAACCCUUUUUAAUUCAUUACAUCUAAUAAUUGUGAUUUUAUAUUUUAUAAAAAUUUACAAUUAUACUCUAUACUUUAAAAUUUUAAAAUUAUACUCUAUUUUUUUUAGUAUAAUUCGUUAAUUGCUUCCAUUAAUUUUGUAUGAAAUGAAAUAGCCUUCAUCUAUCCUCUAAUAUGCAAUGUCACACUCCUUCUACCCCUUGCAAUUCUAUAUCAAUUUUGAUCUAAUUCAAUUCCACUAUUCUCUCUUCAGAAAAUUCUUAAAAUCAAUAAAUCUUCCAAACAAAUAAUAACUGACACUACAAAGAUAAUAUUUCAUUUAACAGAAGAAGAGAUUUCAUUUUAACCCAAUUAUAAUUUGCAAAAUAUAAUACGAAAGUAAAAUAAUAUAAUUGCUCAUAUUUAGUUUUUAGUGCAAACACAUGAUAGUAAUCUAAAUUGAGAAACAAUCAUCGGCUGAAUUUAGGGCCUCUCACAUUGUUGUUUCUUGUUCAUUGUGAUGCAACCGUAUUGCGAUAGUCGGAGAGUUGAAUCUUAUGAUGCUAAGAAUUACAAUGUCGAUAAAGAUUCAAAGGGGGCGAUCUAUGAUGAUAUGUGGGCACUGGUUGUAUUGAAUUGAGAGAGAGAAUGUGGCAAUGACUAAUGAAGACUAGCGACAUUCCACUGAGAGUGAGAUGAGAUGAAGAGGAGCUUUGGAAGCAGAUGAUGUUGCAAUGAUCGAUAAAGGUCAGUACGAUCAACUGAGAGUGAGAUGGGAUGGAAAGGAGCCAUCGAGAAAGAGGAUAUUUGUAACGACCCGAAAAUCGGACAGCUACUGGUGCUAGGAUCCAGAUCGGCUUAAGGCCGCCGGGACCCGUAGUAAGCCUAACAUACCUCCUGUAGACCUGUUAAAUCCCAUACAUGAUCAUACAAAUACAUAAAACUUUAAACUUUUUCUUUCAUUUACCAAGCUUAAUCUGUGCAUGCACAAACUCAUAACCAUAAAACCCCACACUGGAGCCCUCAUCAAAUACUCUAAUAGGGUAACAUAUCAUACAUUAAGCUUGGUUUACAUAAACAUCAUUAAAACAUUUCAUUAAAAAGAUCAUAUACCAAAAAGGGAUUAACAUACACUAGGGCCAAGCACAAUUCUAUCCUCAAUACAAUUCUUUACAUUACAUCACAUUAUAACAUUUUACAAUACAUGUCCACAACUAACUAUUACAUACAACAUGACUUCUUUACUCUUGCUGACUUCCUGAUCUAUCCCGUACCUGCAAACCUGAGGGAUUAAGGGAAUGGGGUGAGCUACUAGAGUCCAGUGAGCAGAAUAGUAAAACAUUUUAUUGAAAUUCAUGCUUUCAUGAAAUGCAUCACAUCACAAACAAAUCACAUUAAGGAUGAACUUGUCACCAAUAGCCUUCUACAUAUCCAAUAGUGCCAGAACGUAGAAUGGGCCCUGGUUUUUCCCUUACAUAACAUAUCAUAACAUUCCAAUGUGCCAGGGACGUAGAAUGGGUCUUCCUGGACUUUCUCUUACAUUGUGCCAAGGAUGUAGAAUGGGUCUUCCUGGACUUCCAUACCGUAUCAUCAUCAUAUCAUUUCAUUCCAUACGAGGACUAAUGGAUCAUCCAAUGUUCAUCCACAUCAACAUCAUAUUAUGCAAUGCAACAUAUUCGUGAAUUCUAAUGCAAACAACCUAAUAUAUCUCAUGGCAUUCGUGAUGCAUGAACAUGCUCAAAAUUUAUUUAUUUACUUUGCAAUAUAAAGAGUCAUUCUACUCACCUCAGGCUAGCUCUGAAAAGACUCUGAAGCAGCUAUCUCACUGCUGGGGUCCUCGGUUCCUCGGGUCCAAACCUAUACAGGUAGACUUAAAUGAGGGACCAACAAACACUAUCAUGACUCUAAACAACUCCCCCAAAACCCCCUAAAAUACCCUAAAACAAUCAUAGAAAUCAUGCAAAGGAAGGCUAAAUAUGGCACUUUCGGCGGCAGGUUCGGCGGCCGAAAGUCCCUCCAGAGCCGAAACUCAGCCACUUUCGGCGGCACCUUCGGCGGCUGAAAGUCCCUUCCAGAGACGAAACUCAUGCAUGUUCGGUGGCACCUUCGGCAGCCGAAACUCCCCUCCAGAGCCGAAAGUCCAACUUUUGGGGGCAGGGUUCGGCAGCCAAAAGCUUGCCUCCACAGGCAGGUUCGGCUGCCGAAAGUCCUUCGGCUGCCGAACCUGAGUUCUUCCAAGGUGGCAGAACUCAACCUCCUCAUGCACAUUUUGCCUUCCAAACCUUUCAAACAUGCAUUUAGCUAUUCUACAACAUGCAUACUCAUGCAAACAAUUAUAUAGGGGUCUCACACUCUCCUAAACCCCAACAAUAACACAUAUAGCAACUCAUACAACAUACAUUACACAUAUUUUCAACAAAACUCACAUGAAUCCUAACAUUAAACAACUAGCUUAAACAUGCAUUUUUACCCCAUAAACUUUCAUAAAACUUGCUUAGAACAUCGAAGAAGGUGAGGAUCGACGCUUACCUCUUGAAAAUCGAGAGAAAACGUGACCCAACUUGGAGAUUUGGGAAAAAUGGGUUCCGGAGGUCUCCAAGCUUCCAAACUUCGAUCUUUGCUCAAAAACUUCAAAAACAAGUUAAAACUUGUUAGAAACUUGUAGGAUUUGAAGGAAAACCUCAAAACCAACCAUGGGAGGGCAUGAACUCUCUGUUGAUCGAAAAUAGGGGAGAAAACUCGCCCAUUUUCGGCCAUGGGGUCUUUUAUAGGUAGGGGUGAGCAUUCGGUCGGUUCGGUUUAAAACCAAACCGAACCGAAUAAACCGAAAACCAAAAUUUUAGUUUUUAUGAAAACCGAACCGAACCGAUUUUGGUCAAAAACCGAAUCGAACCGAACCGGUCUGAUUCGGUUCGAUUCGGUUUGAUCGGUUUCAAUUUUUAAUAUUUUUUUAAUUUUUUACAUUUUAUUUUUAGUAUUUUAAAAUUUAAUUAAAAUAUUUUAAUUUUAAUAUAAUUUAAUUUCUCUAUAUUAUUGAAAAAACAUAUUAUUAUCCCUAAUCGGUUUGGUUCGAUUUUUUCGGUUUUUUUCUGAUCAAAACCGAACCGAACCUAAAUAACCGAAAUUUUUAAAAUUUAAAACCGAACCGAACUGAAAUGUAUAAAAAAUCGAACCAAAUUUUCAAAUCGAUUCGGUUCGGUCGGUUUUUUCGGUUUGAACCGAAUUCUGCUCACCCCUAUUUAUAGGUGGCUGGCCAGACCACCUUCGGAAACCAAAGGUGACUCCAAAACUCCACCAAGUUCGGCGGCCGAACCUGGAUUUUCCUCAAUUGUUAUUUUAAUUCAAAACUCAAUUUCUUUCUUACUUAAAACCAUAAAAUACAUGAAAACAUUUUAUAAAAACAUGAUUUUACCCUUUUAGAGGUCUCCGACAUUCGAGAUUUCACCGGACGGUAGGAAUUCCGAUACCGGAGUCUAGCCGGGUAUUACAAUAUUAAUUACAACAAUCGAUGAAGGUCAACGAUGAUCGAUUGAGAGUUAGAUAGGAUGGAGAGGAGUUGUAGAUUGAGUGACAAGUAAAAGAGAACUCUAGAACAAAAAGGAAGGAGACGGUGUAGGGAUUGAAGGAGGCAGAUGCAUGGUGGAGAUGUCAAUAAUGAAAACAUGGGAGCCAAAAAGAGAGAGGAUAGAUGAAAAGGAGGUAUAGGGGAGGGAUGGAGAUGAGAAAAAGGAAAAGAAUUUGUUUUUUAGCAAAUUAAUAUGAGAGUAGUUUUAUAAUUUUAUAAUUGUCUCUUUUUUUCUAAUAAUUAUAAUGGUAGACUAUCAGAAUAUUUAAUAAAAGAAUUUAAUACUUUUAUUUUAAAAUUAUAAAAAAAUAUUUUAAUUAAAAUUAAAAUUAUGAACACCUAGAAAUAAAUUUCAUUAAAAUUUAAUAACAACAUAAUAAUUAUUGAUUUAUAAUUUAUAUCACAACUCUAUUUGAUAUCCUGUAUUUGAUAGGAGGACAAAAUAAGAAAGACUUGAAUUCCGACGCACAAAACUCUACCAUUAAAAGACUUGCUUUUGAUUGUUCGGCUUUUCUAUGUUCUCCUUUACAGGUAAUGACGUACACCUAAUAAUAUUAUUAUAAGGACAAAUAUUCUGAGUGUUCAAUAAUUUUCCUUAUCUUAAUAAUUUAUUAAAUAUUAAUUUAGUAUUUCUACAAAUAAUCAUUUGUAAUAAAAAAAUAAAAGUUAAUAAUUACUACACACAAAUUUAUAAUAUAAUAUUAAAAUACGAAUAAAGAGCAAUGAUUAAAAUUAUUAAAAAUCAUAUAUAUUGUGUGGAUUAGAAGAUUACAGUUAAACUAUAAAAUUAAAAAAUAUCUUAUUAUAAAUAAAACUUAUCAAUCAGUCAUUAAGAAUUAUAUAUAAAUCUUAUAACUCAAGAGUUCUUAAUGAUAAUAUUAAAAUAUUAGAUAAUGUAUUAUUUUUGUGAUAAGGAGGAUAAGACACAUAUUAUUAAAAUAUUACAACAUUAUGAAGUGUAUAUAUAAAAACAGUAUGAAGAAUAUGAUAUUUUAAUAAUUAAAUUAAAUUCAAAGUUAGGUGAGUUAAAAAAAUCAUAUAAAUGCUUAUCUUUUCAACAUCAAUACUUGACAAACAUAUAUUUUUUAAUUAGACAAAAAAUAUAUUAAAAAAUAUUAAAUUUAUUAUUAUUUUUACAUAGAGUUUGAGAAUUGAGAGAGUAAAAUUUAAAAUUUUUCAGAUUUAUUUAAAAAUACUUAUCAUUAAGUUAAGUCUAUAAAUACAAAUUUACUUUUAUUAUAUUGUAAGAUUAAAGAUGUUAAUUUUUUUUAAGUAUAAAUUUAUUUUUAAAUUAUUAUUAAAAAAUUAAAUAAUAUUAAAUAACUCUAAAUAAAUCAAGAAUAGUAAAAUUUAGACUGUAAAUGACUCUAAAUAAAUUGAAAAUAGCAGAACUCAAACUCGUAGAUGAUAAAUUAUAAUUUUAUUUAGUUUUUAAUGUAAAUGUUAAAAAUAAUUUAGAUGAAAUAUUAAAUUUGAUAUUUUAAUUUAUAUUAUAUAGUUGCAAAAUAAUUUUUUUAAUUAAAAAUAUAUAUUGCGUGAAAUUGAAUUAAAAAUUCAAUAAACAGCUAAUAAAAAAUAAAAUUAGCAACCAACAAAAGGAUACUUACUCAAUGUAAGUCCUAAAAGCCCAGCAUCUCAAUCCGCCAAAUGAAAUUGGAAGCAUCAGCAACGCUUGUCCAUCACUUCCAUCAUCAAUUGAAUCAAAGAAGAGAAAAUAAUAAAAAAUUUAAGUCUUAGCAACCUACUCUUAUCAGAAAAACUGCCCUAAAACAUAAUAUGUAAACUAUCAAUUUUCAGAAAAAUCGCUCAGCAGCAAAAAUCAAGUAAGCGCAAAUUGCUAUGUUCAACCUAGACAACCUGAAUUGAGCGGCAACAUCCAUCAGAAAGUGAAAGCCAGUCUAUGCCGUUCCAUUCUAUUAUAGUCAUAGAACUAUAAUUGUAAGUAUUAUUAUGCUUUGAUAUUAUUUAAUUUAUCGACUAUUUACAAUAUUUAAUAUCAAUUAGUUAUGACAAAUCAAAUCUUAAAUGAUCCAUAAUUAUCUGUUCUAUAAUUCAUGGACAUUAAUAUCAAACUAAAUUCGAGUCUUGGUAAAAGAAUUAAGUUCAGAAUCCAUCAGAAUCCAUUAUAUAAACUAAGCCACUAAUACACCAUUUAAUUUACAGUUGAAGAGCAAGUUCUAUCACAACCCUAUCAAGACAAACGCCAGAAGAAAAUUAAAUAAUUGCGUAACGAUGGUGGACAGAUAAAUACGCCUAUACAUACGAUUUUGAGUGACAGUAACAUGUGUCACUAUAACAAAGUGAUGGUUAUAAAAAAUAAAAAUAAAUAAAUAAAUAAAUUCAAUUCAUUUAGACUAAAUUUUUUCAUAUAUAUAUAAAUUUUAUUUUAUUUUAUCUCAGAUUAUAACCGCUUAUAUAGAUUAUAACAGCUCAUAUACAUUAUAAAUCUAAACUCUAAACAUGCAACAUUACUGAAAAAAGAGCUUAAACUACAAAGAUCAAAAUCAAAAUUUAUAAAUCAGAAAAAGACAAUUGAAUCUGAGACCACCUCCUUGCAGUCGGAAAAAAAUCUCCCAACAACUAUAAAAAAUCUUGUCUCCCUGGCUCUUUUCUUUCUCUCCCUUUUCUUUCGCAAAAGCACAACCACUGAACCAUUUAGUAUUUAAUAUCAGAUGCUAUUAAAAAGAUAUUAUGAUAAUAUUAUGUUAUAUACCAUGUAAUUAUGAAUUAUAUAUAAAUUUUAGGAGAGGAUUACAGUAAAAAAAGAAAAGAAAAGAAAAGAAAAGAAAAGAAAAGAAAAGAAGGAAUCAGUAAUCUGUCGUCUUUCUAAGCCCCAAAGCUCGAACUUCGCUUCUUUAAAGCCCAUAUAAGAAAGAUAUCUGAUGAAUAGCGUCAAAACAGUAACAGAAAAAGCUUUACCAUCGGAGUUGGUGGGGAAAAAACAUCAACAAAGCAUCUUCAAUGCGAAUCUUAACAAAUCCAAACCUAAAAUCCCUUAGCUUUUUCACUCUAGUAAAAUCCACAGCAAAAGCAAUCAAAGAUCAAGCAGUGACAAAGUAAAACCCAUGGAAAAAAAAAAAAAAAAAUCAAGAACGCAGAUCAGCCUUUCAAACCAAAUAAUUAAAUUAUUAAGUAUCCACUUGCUUCAAGCCACAGCAUUGUGGACCCACAAUUCUGAGCCAUUUCACAGACGUGUCAACCCCUUCUUUUGCAUGGCGCCUUCAACCGCUUUACCUCCUCCAUUUUAAAUACCACCCCUCGCCGCUACUUUUCUUUCAGACUCGCUUCCUCUCGGUGUCUGCGGUGAUAUUUUCCCAUAUUCCAUCGUUUCUUCUGUAAUCGAUCCUCUACUUGCUGUGCAUGGAGACCCAUAAAUUUACCACCUUCUUCUUCAAUUAUGCUUUAUUUCUGGUUGUUACCCUUUUUUCUCUAUACAUAGGAGGCUGUUUAGCCUCUCGUUUCAACCGGUUUGAAUCUGGUAUUUUGAUGCCAUCAGAAGAACUUGAACCAGGAGUUGAUGAUGAUCAACUUGGAACAAGAUGGGCGGUUCUCGUUGCUGGAUCAAUGGGUUACGGAAAUUACAGGCAUCAGGUAAAAGAAAAUUCUAAUUUUUCCUUCUUCUCUUGAAACUAUGUUUCCAUCAAUCUGGUAAUCUGUGUUAAUUAGUUGGUUCACACUGCUUAAGUGAUCAAUUUACUUUUUUUUUUUUUUAUGAGCGGAGAUUGAUGAAUUUUUUUAGUUUGAUCUUACAGGCCGAUGUCUGCCAUGCAUAUCAGCUGCUGAGAAAAGGUGGCAUAAAAGAGGAGAACAUAGUAGUGUUUAUGUAUGAUGAUAUAGCUAAUAAUGAAUUGAAUCCCAGGCCUGGAGUUAUCAUCAAUCAUCCACAGGGAGACGAUGUAUAUGCUGGUGUUCCUAAGGUGCGUAUGUUUGUAUUCAUGUAUGCUAGCUAGCUUCCACUAUAUAAUAGCAAAGUCAUUGUUUCUGUAAUAGUAUCGCUCAGAUUUUUUAUUUAUAUAAUAUUAAUUUGUGGGUAGGAUUGAUUAUUUAGUAUUUAUCAUGUCUCCUAUGUUAACCAUUGAUUGGUUGGCUAUCUUCUUUGAUGAUGAUUGACAGUAUAUGAUGGUAAAAUAAAUGGACUUUAUUAGGAACCAGACAUUUUCAUAAUUGUUGUUGAUAGUGAUAUUUAAUCUAUAAUUAAUUUAAAUUUGAAACUUUGGAUACUUAAAGACAAAUGGUGGUCAGAUAAUUAAUAAGAACGUUAUUUCAAUUGAUUGGUUUAAGCAAGAUAUCCUUUAUCAUCAAAGAAUAUUAUAACUGUUAAUACAUAUUUUAAUCUACAGUUGAAAAGAUGAUACCUUUGUUGCAAAUAUUUUUGUAAAAAAAAAAAAAAAUCUAUUUAUUGGAUUUUUCUAUAAAAAAUGUCUUUCAUACUUUAGCUUGGAUUUUAUGAUUUGGCACACUUUGUUUGUAUCAAAAUAAUUAGCAGGGAGACAUGGUUGUUGAAUGCUUUGCUGGUAUCAAAGUAUUUUAAUCAAGUGCCUGAAUAUGGUUAGCCAAGCAGGAUCCAUUCCUUUGAUGUUAGAUUUUGGAAUGACAACUGUGCAAUAAUUGUACAUGAUCUAUUGAUUAUUUUGACCUUCUAAUUGGACUUCUUUUUCUUCAAACAAAAAAGAGAUGGACAUGAUGGCUGGUGAACUUGAUUGAAUUAAUUUCAUGGGAUCUUUCCUAUGCAUUUGCAUCUAAUUUCAGAUUAAUUAAUCAUUAUUUGAUGAUCAUAGAUUCACUUGAUUUUCAAUUUCUUUUUCAUAUCUUUGCAGGAUUAUACAGGGGAGAAUGUUACUACUAAAAAUCUUUAUGCAGUACUUCUGGGUGAUAAAAAUGCUGUCAAGGGUGGAAGUGGCAAGGUUGUAGACAGCAACGCCAAUGAUAGAAUUUUCUUGUACUAUUCUGAUCAUGGAGGCCCUGGAGUUCUUGGUAUUAUAAGCUGCCAAUUUCUGCUCUCUGUUUCAAUGAGCUGAUGUUCUGUUUAUAAAUUAAAAUUGAUGUUGUGUGUAAUAUAAUGCAGGGAUGCCAAAUCUGCCUUUUCUGUAUGCGAUGGAUUUCAUUGAGGUUUUGAAGAAGAAACAUGCAGCUGGGGGUUACAAAGAAAUGGUAAUCAAAGAGAGUUUUUACCAUAUUUGAUUCCAACAAAUUAACGAUUAAUUAAAUUGCUAACCGAGUUGGAUAUGUUCUGAAUGCAGAUUAUAUAUGUAGAAGCUUGUGAGAGUGGGAGCAUUUUUGAAGGGAUUAUGCCCACAGAUAUAAACACUUAUGUCACUACAGCAUCAAAUGCUCAAGAGAGUAGCUGGGGAACUUACUGUCCUGGGAUGGAACCGCCUCCACCUCCCGAAUUCAUCACUUGUUUAGGGGAUUUGUACAGUGUAGCUUGGAUGGAGGAUAGGUGAGUGUUUAUAAACAGAAGAAUCUGCUUCUUUUCUUAGCAUUCUUCCUCAUUAAUUAUUUUUUCCUGAUGAAUCUGCAGCGAGUCGCACAAUCUGAAGAAAGAAACAAUAAAGCAACAAUACAAGACGGUAGAAUCUUUGCUUGUGCGAUAUCGUUGGGCGUUUUGCCUAUUGUUCUUCAUUGAAGGGUUAAUAUGAGAUUUUCCUUCUUGAUUUUGUGCAGGUAAAGGCCAGGACUUCUAAUUUUAACACUUAUGCUGGUGGAUCUCAUGUGAUGGAAUAUGGGAAUGCAAGCCUCAAAGCAGAGAAGGUCUAUUUAUAUCAAGGUUUCGACCCUGCAACUGUGAACUUCCCUCCAGACAAUGGUCAUAUCGCCGCACCUAUGGAUGUUGUUAAUCAGAGAGAUGCAGAGAUGCUCUUCCUGUGGCAAAUGGUGAGUGUUGUAUCCCCUUGAAAUAUUUGCUCAUACUUGAUUUUGAUGCUAAUGGUGAUUAUGAUGAUGUUAGAACAUGCAAGUAGUUGUAAUAAUCUGUUGCUUUCCUGCAGUAUGAAAGGUCAGAAGAUGGGUCGGAAAAGAAGACGAAAAUACUCCGGCAGAUUACAGACACAAUUAGGCAUAGAAGGCACUUGGAUAGUAGCAUAGAAUUGAUUGGAACACUAUUAUUUGGACCCAAAAAGAGUUCAUCUGUGCUUCAAUCUGUCAGAAAACCUGGUUUGCCCCUGGUGGAUGACUGGAAUUGCUUAAAAUCAAUGGUAAACAUGAUAAUCAUUCCCAGUCUUUUCUUUUUCUAGUUUACUUCAUGUUCGUUACACUUAUGAUCAAUGUAAUAUUUAAAUACUUGACAUUGAAAUCUCAGGUUCGUGUGUUCGAGACGCACUGCGGAUCAUUGACCCAAUAUGGCAUGAAACACAUGCGUGCAUUUGCCAAUAUCUGCAACAGUGGGGUUUCUCAAGCCUCCAUGGAAGAAGCUUCAACCGCCGCGUGCAGUGGCCUUAACGCUGGACUAUGGCAUCCUUCAAAUCAAGGUUAUAGUGCUUAAGUUUAGGCAGAAAAUGUGCAACUUCCAUUACUUAGUUUCUAGCACAUAGUUAAAAAAGAGAAGGCUCCAAUUCACCUGCUCCGUUUGGUUGCCUUGCAGUUUGUGGUAGAGAACUAUGAUGUAGUAAUAGUUUGUAGGUACCAUGUGUGGUUUCCUGAGUUACAAUGGAUUGUUCUAUUGUUUUGGGACCCAUCUAGGUCGAGAAUUAUAUUCUAGAACCUUUGUACAUAUCUCAAUAUGAUAGUAAUGAUGGCUUUAAGGUUUGGUUGGUCCACUGUUCUUUAUUUUCGUGGCUGAAAAAUUUCAAAUUCCAGAUUUUUGUUGUAGGCCACGCGUUUUCGACAUUGAAGAAGUAAUUAUUAAAGCCAAUAAGAUUUAUUCAUCUGUAUUCCAUUCUCCUUAAAAGUAAAGUCUACCUAAUUGAGGGCUAUUGGUUACGGCGGAUCGUUUUCAGAAGAUGUGUGGAGGUCAAUCAGAGGAGAGUGAAUAAGCUUACAGAGAGAAAAGAGAUGGGUGCAGAAACGAUUCGAUUGUCGUUAUCAGCUUUUGGACGUGAUGGGACGAAACAAUUUUGAGCGACCUCUUUCUCGAAGGAUGAUGUUGUUUUGUUUUUUUAUUUGCAUAGCUGAGCGCUUCUCAUCCGUCCAUUCUGCUAAUUAAGCUUGAAAUCAUUUGUCAUUGAAAUUUAAAGCCCAAUUUUCAAAGGUAGUGGCUGUGAUGAUGCUGUUUCGUUUUUAUUUGCAUAUUAAAGCAAUUCUAAUCCGUCCAUUCUGCUAACUGAGCUUUGAAAUCAUUUAGGUUCAUUAAACGUUUUCUUAAGUGUUUACUUUGGAGUUAAAAUUUAUCAAUUUCCCUUUGUGAGUAGGAUGAUUUUUCUUGGAAAAUGAUGUGAUUGGAUUUCCAUUUUCUUGCUUCUGAAUGAUUGCAAUGCAUUUAUAUUAUCGAAAGGCUCUAUUUUCUUGAAUGGGCUCGAUCCACUGGGCUCCAUCUCCCCAAACCCGUAGUUUUGAAACCGCAUAUGAAUUGUAUUCACCCCAAAUUAAAAAAAAAUAAAUGAAUAAAAUAUUGAAACAAAAGUUGAUUAUCAAUUACGUGACAACAAUACUUCAUUGAGAUUCAGGAUUAGGCUUUGGAGAUUUUGAUCUUAGACGAUCACAAAUUAACAAUUAUUUAGUUAGGAAAAUUAUUAGAUGGACCUUAGAAUGUGAGUCUCAUUUACACUUGUUUAUAUGAAUUUAAAUAAAUAUUUCUCAUUUAAUUAAAUAUUUAUAUUUAAAUUUAUAUAUUCAUUAUACACGUAUUUUUAUAUAUACUGAUCUUAAUUUUUAUAUUAAUAAAAUUUUAUCAAAUAAAGAGAGAUAUCAUCCAAAAAAUAAAUGAUUAUGCCUAAUAGGUUCUAUAAUCAAAAUAUGAACAGUUAGAGUGGCAUGACGAUUGAAUUUAUCUAAUAGAAAUAUUCGUUUUAGUGUCUAACAAAAAUUUAUAAUUAUUCAAAAUCAAAUUCAGUUCAAAAAUAUCUAAAUAUAGAGAUCGAAGAGGUUAAACCACUUGCAAACAGUACAUAAAAAUGCAGUCAUUGAAAUGCAAAAAUUUUAAAACUUUUAUUUUCAUAAAAAAUAAAAUGUCCGAUUUGUAAUCAGUAACCAAAUCCUUCAAUGCAUUAACUAUCCGAGAAUUACUGAGUUCUCGGCAGUUCCAACACAGGACAAUCAUUGCUUUCAGCUAUCCCGACAUUUGACGGGAUGGACCGUUUUAUUAUUAUCUGUCAAAUUAACAUUCGCAGGGGAGUGUGGUUAGAGGCAUACUGUUGAGAGGAAGGAAAACUUGUAGCAUCAUCAUCCCCUCUAAAGAAUACCAUAAAUCUGCUAAAGAGGUCUGCAUAUUUUAAAAAUUGAUUGUAUUAUAUGUGAGAAACAUUUCCACCAUACAGAUAUCAUAAGUGAUUAUCAGAAUAUUUCUGGAGCUCUUAAUAGGGACAACAAUAUCUUCUUUUUCAUCGAUAGUCAAUUGACGCAAAUCGUUUUACAUGGGAAAAAAAAGGAGUUAGGUUUAAGGAAGAGAAAAAAGUGAGAGUAUCGAACUAUAGAGGAACAAUAAAAGAAAACUUACAUGGAAAGUAUAUACACAAAUCUUAAUAAACACUUUUAAAAAUAAACUGACAUUAGUAUAUCGACACUGAAAUACAAAUAAAAAUGGAUAUUAUUAACAAAAAAUAACAAGUCACAAAUUUAGCGCCAAAAAGAUUUGGCGAUAAAUUAUUUAUGAAAUAGCAGUAAAAUUCAGAAAAGAUUUUAAAUUCUGUUGCUGUUUUAAUUAGCAUAAAGUAAUAUAGCGACAACAUUGUUUCAUUGCUAAUCCAAUUGCUCAAAUAAAUUAGCAAUGAGGUAUGGAAAAUAAAAGUUUUUAAUAGUGCAAUUUUGUAUAAAUUUGAAUAUAAAUAUUCAAUCUAUGUUUUACUAAAUUCUUUUAAGAUAUUAAUAUGAAAGAGUUAAAUCUUUAUGAAUUUUGAUAAUUUAAUCUAAUUUCUUACUCUAAAUUUUCAAAGGUUUUGAUGAGUUUAACUAAUUUUAAAAUCAAAGUUAAAAAAUUAUACACACACAAGUGUUUUUUUUUUUUUUUUUUUUNNNNNNUUUUAUAGAACUCACAUACUUUAUGAAUAAUAUUUUUUAAAAAACAUCUGCUUCUUGAUAUAAAAAAAUUUAAAUGUUUAUGAUGUUUUAUAAAUUAAUCUAAAACUUUAAUUUUUGAUUAAAUAGGUGAAAUUGUCAAGUUUUGAUAAAAAAAUUUUUUAAUUCAAAUGGUUAUAUUAUUGAAGAACGCCGGGUUUCACACGUUUCAGGAGAAAAUCGAGUCUAUAAAGGCAGUAUUAAUUCAAAACCCAUCAAGUUUUCCUGACAGAUUGAUCAAAUAUCUUCGACUCUGAUCCAGACCUACGGAAUGGACCGGAUCACUCACGAGCUCAGGUUCAUCAGAAAGAAAUUCAGUCCGGUGACGUGACAUGAGAAACGAUAGCAGGCCCAGUUACUUUGCAGUCUUGCUCGCAUGCGCGCCGAAGGGAAUUAAAUAGCCAUUUGGCAUUGAAAAUAGCAUAUGACACCCCGUACGUACGAACCUGUAUGACAGAACAGGCGACACUAUAGUAGAGAGACCGUUAGGCAUCACUAACAAACAAAAGGAAAGAAAUAAAAGGAAAGAAACACCAUUCUCUCCGAUCAAGAUUACAUGAUUACCGUAAAUCCUAUCCUCUAGAUCGCAUAACAUUAAUUAUAAUUCUUUAAAUUAAUAAUCUCUCAAUUAAAAUAAGUUUUAUUCUUCAAGUUAUAUUUUCCUUAGAAAAUUUAAACCUGAGUUUUAUUUUUUAAAAAAUCUUUAAAAAUGAUCAACUAAACGUAAAAUUUUCAAGCAUCCCUUCUAAAGUUGUUAUCUAUUUUUUUGGGUUGACGCAUAUAUUUUACAAUACUAUAUCCUUUAAAUUAAAAAUAAAAUUAUCAAAAUAUUUGAAAUUUUAAUUUAUCAUUUUAAGAACUAAACUUUUGAAUUAAAUUGCACAAUAAAUAUUUAUUUUUUAAAAGUUAAUUUAUUAAAUAUAAUAUAUAAAUUCUACCAAAAAAUAAUAAAAAAUAUACUUUUUUUCUUAAUUUUAAUUUUAAUUUUAAAUUUGAAUAAAAUUAUUAAAAUAUCUUAAAAUUUAGUCUAUAAUAUUAAAAAUUAAAUAUUUAAAUUAAAUUACCAAAACUCACAAAACCUUAGAUUUUUUAUGCCAAUAUCCUAAUUUUUUUUAAAGGUAUGUUUAUUAAGCUUAAUUUCGUAUAACUUAUAUGAAACGCUUUUUAUAAUUUUUUUUCUUAAAAUAAAAUUAUAUUAUUGAAAUGAUGAUUGUAUCAACUGUCAAAAAGUUCUUUUUUCCACUUUUUCUUUCAUAAAAUUAAACGGUAUUAUUUUUUUUAACAUUAUUAUUGUCUAAUAUUAUUUAAUGCUUUAUCACCCCUCAUUAUUAGUUGACAAGUGUACUUUAAUCAGUUAUUAAUAUUUUUUUUAUAAAAAUAAACAUAUUCAAUUAUUUCCUUAAUAUCAUGUAAAACAUUAAAAGCAUUUGAAAUGGGAUAUAAUGAGUAAAUAUUAAGCUAUUUUUAUAUAAUUUUCUUUUUUUCUUAUAACAAAAGGAAUCCAAUUGGAAAAAAUUUUAAGAACUUUAUCUAUCAAUAAUUUUGUAAGCUAAUACUCAAAUUUCUAAAUUCUUCUAAAAGAAAAAAGCAAAUCUUGAAUUCUAACCAAUUGAAUAAUGCCUCGUUAGCACAGAAUGAUGGAAUUAUAUUUUCGUUGAUGAAUGGCUAAACCGCAAGCUGACAUGCGAUUACUUCUGCGCUUCAAUUUGGUUACUUGCAAUUACUUUUUUUGUGUGAAAGCAUACUUGCAAUUACUAUUAUCAGGCGAGCAAUUGCAAAAACAAGUUUGAUUAAAUUGAAUUAAUUUUAAAAUUUUAAUUUGGUUCGAUUUUUAAUUUUAAAAAUUUUAAUUAUUUUAAUUCUGUUUAAUUUUGAUAAAAAAAUAUUUAAAAAAAUCAAACUAAAUUUAUUAGUGAUAAUAAUAUAUUAUUUUUAAUAAUAAAGAAAGAUUAAAUCAUAUUAAAGUUAAAAUAUUCUAAUUAAAUUUUAAAAUAUUAAAAAUAAAGUAUAAAAAAUAAAAAAUUUAUUAAAAUUUUAAAUCGAAUUGAAUUGAAUCAAAUCAAAUCAUAUUGAUUCGAUUCUAUUCAAUUUUUAAUCAAAAUUAAUUCGGUUCGAUUUUUAUAAAUAGUUUAAUGAUUCGAUUUUAUUCAAUUUUUAAUCAAAAUCAAUUCGGUUUGAUUUUUAAACUAAACCGAAUCAAGCAAAUGUUACAUUUAAAAAUUAUAAAAUUAUAUUAUGUGUUGUUUACAUGAAUUUUCAGAUCAGAAUUUGAGAUUUUUUUUUAAAUGGAAAAAUUUAAUAGUUUUAACGAAAAAGUAUAAUUUAGCUAAUGAUAAUUAAAAAACUUUGAUAUUUUAUAUAAUAUAAUAUCUGUAAUAUUAAUUAUAUAUAUUAUUAUUAUAAUUUUAAUUAUUAAUGGAAGAAUUUUAUGUUAUAAAAUAUAAAUAUGUAUUGAUGGAGUGGUUCAUAAAUAAAAAUUAAAUAGCUAAUAUUGAUAAAAAUAAAUAAAAAAACUUCAUAGUAAUUUUCUUAUGAGAUUAAUGCCUAGAAUUGGCGAGCAUCGAACUGAUUUUCAGAAACAAAGUUGAAAAGAAAAAGGAAACUUGUACUCUUAUAAGUAUUGAUUAUAAGUUAUAUAAAAAAAGAAAGUAAAAAAAAAAAAUUGAAAUUUGUCGCCACAUCAAUACUUGCGUUGCUUCCAGGUAGCGUUAUGGCAGUUACCCCAUGAUGCAAUCCUCAUCUUCACCUUCUCAAACUCCGAAUACCCACACGGUAUCUUUAUUCCACCCGAAUGAUUGUACCCGUAUACCCGCUCCGUAUCCUUCAACAGCUCUCCAAACAACGGGUGAUUUAUGUAUAUUACAGGCACCACUUCCCUCCGCGUGUCACCAUUUGAUUCUCCCACGUACACCACCAAGUGUCCCUUGGGCACCUCCACCGGUUUCGCCUCACCCAGUCUGAUAUAUCCCCGAUUUGAUCUCUGAGAAGUCCUCCGUCGUAAGUUACGAGCUAAGGCCAAGAUUCUGGAGAUGGGAUUGAGGGAGCCACCAGCUAUUGGACGGGCGGUGGUGGGUUUUCUCCUCCUGGAUCGGAUUAUGCAUUUGAAGACUCUUACAAGCCUGCCGCCGAGCCUGAAACCUCUGAGCUUUUUCAUGGCAGAAGCGAGAUUUUUUGGGGGACAACAGAGCAGAGCACUGACUCUUUGUAAUUAAGCAGUUGUUUUGUUUGGAGGGUCAAAGCUGAGUCUUCAUGGUAUAUAUACACGUGUGGUUGAUAUUGUGCAGAGAGCAAAGACAAGAGGAAGAUGAGACAAUUACCAGUUCUUUUCUUCCUUUAUUAACUCUGCUUUUUUGUCCUAAAUUUUUCUCGUUUGAUGAGAAUAAAAACAAAAUACGAAGAACAGAGAUGAGAUGAGAGACAGCCAGGUAAUUAAAUGGGUUACACAAAAGGUCAGGAGUCAGCUAAAUGAACGCUCUCAUGUUUCUUGGCCUUACAAUGUCCCAGGAAGACAGAUCAACUUGGAUUUAUUGAAUUCAAAAUUUUUUUUUUAAAAAAAAUUGUAGUUAUCAACUUAAUUAAUUAAUUAAUUAAUGACAAUUAAAGAAAUAAUUUAAUUUAGAACCUGUCUUAAUCUUGAACAUAAGAGCUUUGAGCUGUACUUGGUACGUGUUGUACUUGUCGAAUGACUGGCAGUUGACGAAAUAUGUGGGCAUUUACUUAAAUCAUAACCAUUGAUUCAAUUUUUUAGACCAGUCUAACGUGGAAUAUAUCAAAAUAUCAUUACCAAAUUUAUAUAUCAUUGAAAAAAGCUGCUCAUCAAAAUCAAUCCUUCGUUGAAAAAGGAAAUUUCAGCACUUAUUUAUUAUGUAUUCUAUUUUAGCUUUGAAGAAAUUUAAUUACUUGUAAGUCUUUUAAGUAAGAGAAAGCAAACUUUGAGUUUGAGCUAAAAGAAAAUGUCAAGAUAAGAUAAUACUUUUCCAUGCCGUCCAAAUUAUUUUUCCUUUUAUUUUAUUUCUGUACGAAAUUGAUUAAAGCUUAUUUGAAUAGAUUUAUAUAAUUGAUUUUGUAAAAUUGACUCAAUUAAAAGCCAAUCAUAUCAAUUAAAAUGUUUUACUUGCAAUUUGAAUAAUCUUUCUUUUAUAAUAUACUUUUUUUUUAAGAUAAAAAAAAUAUUUAAUCAAUAUUAAGCCAUAUAUAAAUGUUGAUAUGACAUACUUUAAAAAUUUUUAAUAUAGAAUUAGAAGAUAUUUUAUUUACGUCUGAAAUCAAAUACUAAAAGAAUAAAUAUAUUUUAAUUUAUUGGUGUUAAAGUCGAUUUUAAAAUUAAGAUCUCAAAUUCGAUUAAUAAUCGAAUGAAAAUUAUUAAAAGAAAAGUGUUUUGUUGUUCAUGAUUUUGAAAUACACACGUAAGUGGAAGGGUAAGUAUAUAGUGUUGAUGCUGAAAUGAGAAAAAGGAGGAUAUUUAAUUGGAAAAGCAAGAUAAUGCGAUGCUUUUCGUGUGCAAAGGCAAAAGGAAGAAAACACUUGAGCAUGAACCAAACGGAAAUUAGUUGAAGCAAUGGGCAAUGUAACUCAACACUUAGUGCUAAAGGAAAGAUGGGUUUUGCAAAUUGCAAGCACCUCCUCCGUUAUGUCCCACACGUUCCUACAAUCUAGCCAACCAAAAAAAUUUUAAGAAAGAUUUAUUAUUUAAUGAUAAAUUUAAGACCUAAAUAAUAAAACAUUAUAAAUAAAAAUUAAUUGAAUAAUAUUACUAUCAUUUUCUAGGUUAAUUAACAUUUAAAAAACUGAAAUUAUUUACAAGAUUAAUCAGAUUAUACAAAAAAAAAAAAAUCUUAAAACCCAAUAAUGUAAGAUUAGGAAAAAAAACAACAGGCCAAAAAAAAAAAGUUCAAAAACAUGCAACAGUAAUUAAUUAAUCAUUAGGUCUGGAUGUUGAUCGAAGCAUAAAAUUAAAAAGUAGAAGAAGAAGACACGGAAUGUAAACAGAGGUCUGGAAAUGGCCAGAUUUGCUUAGACAAGCAAACAACAGGCUGCCGUUUUGUUCCUAUUCCGCUGGUUCAAGGACCGUAAUCUCCGCCGCAUAUUAAAACGGUACGGUUUUGUAAGGAAAUAUAUAUAUAUAUAUUAAUGAUGAUGAGUGUGAUUACGGAACCUCCCAGGUAACAUCAUGUACAUGCAGUACUGUCUGGGUUAGGUGGAACUUAAUUUAUGUAUUUUUUUUAAUUUAAUUUAAUUUUUUUAAAUUAUGAAAUGAUUUUUUUUUUUUGAAAAAAAAAGGUGUUGUAAUAAAACAAGAAUAAAGAAAACUCCAAACUUUGUCAGUUAGGUUGAGGUUGGAGCAAGAAAUCAGUUGGGAUUAAGUACCGGAAAUAAAGUAAUGCCAAGGCCCCCAGGAUCAAUCUACUCAAUGAUCAUUAAGGCCCAGCGAAAUUUCUUCCGAGGCUUUUUUAGAAUAGACGUUGAGUUGUAGCAGCCCAAAAUUUAAAGGCUGUAUCUGGGUGAAGCGAGUAAUUUCAUGGAAAUAUGAACACAAUGCAGGGUACAUAGCCUUAUAUAAGGACUAAGGAUUGAUGACCUUAUCUUGAGAAAGCCCCACAGCUAUCCCUGCAAUGAUUGCUUGUUUAUCAACUGUAACUGCUUUGUGGGACAAGAGGAGACUUACAUAAUAUCCCUAGAGAAAGCUCUCUUUCUCUUUCUGUCAUACAAGCACCAAAGUUCACAUUGGCCUUGCUAAAGGGUUAGUGCCACUAAGCAUCCAGCCACAAGUGCCCCCUCAAGGGUUUUGAUGAAAAGCAACAGACAUGGGAACCUGGCCUUUUCUUUUUUUUUUUGGCCUUUUGAAUUACAUGGUAAUCAAAUAGAAAUUGGCAUGAAAAUUCCAUGGUGGCUCUUUAUGUGCAUUUGUUUCUGUGCAGUUGACCUUUCUACUCAAUGGUCAACCCCUCCAUUAUCAUUUAAAUCAAGGACAUAAUUCUCUUAUGUUUCUUAUUUAUUCUUAUCAGUAAAGGGGUUUAGGGUUACUGUUCCUUUUGGUGAUAGUUGAAUAUGAAACUAAUUAAUUAUAGCUUAUACUUCAUGUUUUGAGCUAUACAAUUAAAUUUAUUUUAAUGGAGGGGUUGAUGAAGAUUUUUGUAGUUUCACCAAAAAGUCCCACAGUUCAUGAACUUCAAAGAGACAUACAAAAAUGAUGUAAAAUUCAUUAGAGAUAUUUUUAGACAACUUUCCUAUACUUAAGUUAGAUUUAAAAUUUUUAUGGUGGAAAUGUAGCUUUAAAAAAUUUACUGAGAGGAAGAAGAAAAAGAGAAGCUGUUUGGAAAAAAUAAAGACGUUGGGCUUUAGGACACAAAAAUCUACCCCUUACUUUUUUAUUCCUUCUAUAAAAGUGCCAGAAAAUGUUUUUUAGUGUAUUUUUUAAUAAAUUUACUAUUCAAUUUAAACUAUUUUAUAUGUUAAAUUUUAUCCAAUAUCAGCUGAGAGAAGAAAUAUUAUAAACAUUUGUAUAUAGUUAGUCGUAAUCUAUUAAAUAAUUUGAUCUAACUAUUUUAAAUCAAGUGAAAAAUAAAAAAUAAAAAUAAAAAUAAUUUAAGUUAAUUUUAAUUGAAUAAAUAAUAUUUGAAAUUCUAAUCCAGACUUAAUAAUUAUAUUCAUUCAGUGGGUUGCGACAUUAAUAGCCUCUCAAAAUUGAGUGGAAAAAGUGAAAUCUUGUCCUAUAACGACUGAAAAAAAAUUGUAAGAUUUAAAAGUGAAUUUAGAAAUUAUUUAAAUUAAUUUUAAUGUAUGGGAACUAAAAUUUUAGAGUGAAUUACUCUCCGUAUGAUUUACGAUAAUAUUUAACAUUUUCAAAAAAAAAUUUAUAGUUUCUACAAAUUGGAGAUGAAAGUGUAAAAGGGUAGGCAUAUAUAUGAGAAGUUCACACUAAAAAUAUAUAAGCACCUAAAAUUAUGCAAUAUUAUAAAUUGUAUAUUUCAUAACGGCUGCAAUUCUAUAUAAUCUGAAUUAAAAUAAUGAAACGGUAAUAAUAACAUUUGUCGAGGACAGUUUAAAAUUUAUAUCAUGUUUCAAUUUAUAUAUAUUAAUGGCAAAAGAGCUUAAUCAUUUCGAAUUUGACUGAGAUUCAAUUUUACAAUUUUAAAUGCUUCCAAGAACUUUAAAAAAAUUUUGGAGGAACAACCCUAGCAACUAGGCAUGGUCACGAUCCCAAUUUAAAAUUCAAGAAAUUCAGAAUGGAAAUGCAGAAUUCUUUAUUAUUAUUUUAUUUAAUUUCUAUUAUAAUUUCAAUUAAAUCUAAUCAUUAAAAUGUAACAUUGACUUGAUUUAAAAAGGGCUAUUUAUUAAAUUGUAAAUAAUUUUUUACAUAAUUCAAAAAGGAGACAAAUAAUCGAUUUUGAUUUGACUUUAUCCUCUCUUUUCUUUUGUGAUUCAUAAGAAAAGAAUUUGAAUUCAAUUGCUUUAAUUUUAAAGAAAAAUUAAUUUUAAAUCUCAGUUUUGAAGAGGAAAUGUACACUAUUUUUAUUAUAAAAUUGGUUUGAGAAUGAUUUUAAGUAAUUUAAGUUUAAUUGAUUUUAGUGCAAUUGCAAAUUGAAAUUAGAUAAUUAAGUCGAAAUUGGAAGUUCAGGAAAUGAUGGGGAUGUAAUAGAGGUUGAAGCAUCACCUACUCCAACUCCACCACACACCAACCACAACAGGACAAGAAACAAAGAUUUUCUCAUGUGAGAUUUCAUAUGUUCUGAAAGAGGUGGUGUCUUCCGUGAUGAGUCUCAUCUGUCUUGUUCUUUUUUGUGAUAAGAAAUUGAUGGAGUCGCGUACUUAAUUGUUUAGGUCAUAUGUAAUGCGCGUGUCCUGGAACCCUCCAGUGUUUGUCUUUGACUCUUUGUUUUCCCUUUACAUGUGCCACCAUAUAAGAUUUAAAAGUUUUAGCGUGCCUGCCAAAGUGUGGGGUUUUGUCUCGACAUGCCUUCGACUUUAUUCUUUUGUUGUAGUUCUUGUGCUUAUUGGGGGACUUCUCUUAGAUGUGUUGUUUUUUUCUUAUUUUUCUUUGGCUGUUGUAUUGGUUUUUGCAUGUAGGCGGUCUCCUUGGUGCACUCUCUCAGACGGUUAAUUGUUAAUCUGCAUGCAUUUUCACUCCUUUGUCUGUGUGCUUCAGUGGGUGACAAAUGGGUUUCCAGCCAUUUAAAUGGUUUAUCCUUUCUUAUGAUACCGAGUUCCUCCAUGAUCCAUUGAUUCCUAAAACUCUAUACAUGGCUGGCGAGUUCUUUCGGUACCCUCUUCUAUAGCUUAGACGAAGUUUUUUGGCUAUGCUUCUCUCGGUUUGUCUAGAGAGUGGAUCUUUCUCUCUAGCUCCAAAUGGUUUAUAAAUAUUUCUUUUGUUUUGUUUUCUGUAGCGAUUUUCUGAAGAAAUUUUAAGAUUUGCACUUUCUCUUUUUCUUGGACUUUCUUGGCAGAUUAGGUGAUAUUUGAUUGCAUUUUUUGUUUGCAUGUAGGUUAAAGCUUUUUAGAUCCCAUACUUGGAGACUUUUAUCUUGUUCGGUGAAGGGCAAUAAGGAGGUGAUUUACGGAACAAUACUUGGAUGGUGCAAUAGGGACGUCAAAGAGUGUGCUUCCUCCAUCUUCAUUGGUCCCUUUUGAUCUAUAAAACCCCACUUGACUCGGCUGGUAGCUAUCAUUUUAUAUUUUUCGAGAUGGUUCUAGUGGCGCUUCUUCAAUUUUGGCAUGGAUCCUCUUAUGUGGAAGCAACUUGCUUCUAGUUUUCUCUUAGCCUCUCUUCUUAUGCUUCAGUAAAUGUUUUAAUGUCUAGAAAUAGCGAUCUUGCCAUUUUAUGCAACCUAAAUGCUGGUAACUGUUUAUGCGGCCUAAAUGCUUAUAACUGGAGCUUUACAAGAAGGAUCGAUGUUACUCUUUCUCAUUGAAUCCUAGAUUGGAUCAAGUGGGAUCAAGUGUCAAUGGGUCUUUGGGACUUUAGGCUUUAGUUAAGUCUUUUUCUUGUCCCAUGGAUUUUACGACUUGUAUCUUUGUAUGAUAUUUAUUGCAUGUUGUUUACAGAUUUUAGCAUCGAUCUAACUAAUUUUUUAAGGAAUGAUAUAUGCCCUAUUUAUUUAAAAAAAAAAAAAACAGCGAGUAGAGCAUCAUUUCUAUGAAUAAUCGUAUUAUAUAUUAAUCUAUAAUUAUUUCGAUUAUCAAAACUUUUUUGAGAUAUGAUAAAUAAAAGUAAAUUGAUUGCAAAUUUAAUUAAAGCAAAGUGGUUUAUAAAUAAAUAAAUUUGAUGAUCUGAAAUCCAGAAAAUAGGAUUUUACAAGAGUUUUCGCUAAUUUAGAAAAAGUUUAGUCUGAAAAGAGAGUGACCCUCCCCUUUUAUUCUUUUCCUUCCUCUGUCAAUGAUGUGUACCAGCCUUAUUUUCAUUGGGCCACCUGUCUCUAUCAUACUGAUACGGUCGUACGAGAAUAUCAAAUAUCUGUUGCAUGCGUAACGGCCAUUUAAUUCUCUCCGAGCAGGCAUGCGGACGGACCCACCCGGGGGAUGGGCUGGACACCUUCCUCCGGACUGGGCAGAAAGAGGAGUUCAAGACUGAGUCCAGAAAAAAACUGGUCGUUGGGCUGAGAAGGUUGGGCCAAUCUAUCUGAGAAAUCGGGGUGGAGUCCGGUCUUAAGGCUGAGCGGACCGGACUUGGUUCAGGUGGGUGGCUUGAGGGUUUUCAGGUAAUGGACUGUCGCCAUGAACUUUGCCCCAAACUGGGGUGGGUGAAUCCAACGGUCAUCAAAAUUAAUAAAAGAUGAUUCUAGAUUUAGGGUUUUCACUCUUUAUUAGGAUUCAAUUUAAUCAAUCUAAUAAAUAGAUAUUUAUGAUUUUAAACGAAAUUAAUUUUAAACUCACUUAGAUUUUUUUUCUCUCAAGAAUCAAACAAAUAUUUUAAGUUAACCAAAUCAUACUAAUAUGACUUGUACCUUCAAUAAAACCUACUAAUUAAGUUUUUUUAAUUAAUUAUAAAAUUUUAAAAUAAGAAAAGAGUUUUCGUGAUCAAAUAAUAAUAUUCACUAUUUUAAAAUGUAGAAGGCAACCAAUGGGAACUCAGCUAGAUGAUCAAGUGAGUGCACACAAAUUACAAAAUUAGAAAUGGGAGAAACCUUUUCCAUGGGAAAGGCAAGGAGAUUAGAGAUUGGAGAAUGAAGAAGGGAAAAGAGAAUGAAGCCAUUUUGGGAGGGUUGGCCAUCCCUAGUUGAAUGUGGGGAACCAAAACAAUAAUGCCUCUAUUUCAGCAAUCAUUAUAAGAGGUCCCCCCACCAUUUCAGCUCACCAAUUCUUCUAACUUUACCCCAAAACACAUAAACAAUUGUGUUCAUUAGCGUCACAUGACUUUGCAAAUUUUCUAUUUUUGUAAAUUUUCACUUUACUUUCUCAUAUUUUUAUCUUCUUUUACCAUCCAAUUAUAAGUCACAAUUGAUGAUAUAUAUAGAAAUCGGGAUUAUAUGCCAUGUUUUAUUAUUUUAUAUUAUUAGAAAAAAAUUUUAAAAAUUUAGAGAUACUAUAUAAAAGAUUUAAUUCAUAAUUAUAUAUUGUGAAUUAGGUUAAUAAUAUAUAUAAAUUUUGUUCGCUAACGAGACUAAACUAAUACCCUCGAUUUUUUUUUUAACUUUUUAGAAAAUAAAUAAAAGUAAUAUAUAUCCACGUGGCAUUACACGAAAGCAUCGGUUUAUCUGGAAAAGUGCAAAGAGUGGGUCCUACUAUAAGAUGGGAAGUGGGGCCCAGAUGAGAUAACUGAUGGGGACCACAAACACAACCNNNNNNNNNNNNNNNNNNNNNNNNNNNNNNNNNNNNNNNNNNNNNNNNNNNNNNNNNNNNNNNNNNNNNNNNNNNNNNNNNNNNNNNNNNNNNNNNNNNNNNNNNNNNNNNNNNNNNNNNNNNNNNNNNNNNNNNNNNNNNNNNNNNNNNNNNNNNNNNNNNNNNNNNNNNNNNNNNNNNNNNNNNNNNNNNNNNNNNNNNNNNNNNNNNNNNNNNNNNNNNNNNNNNNNNNNNNNNNNNNNNNNNNNNNNNNNNNNNNNNNNNNNNNNNCGUAUAUUACUUUUAUUUUCCUGAAUGUUUAAUGGAAUUUGGAGAAGUGUCCUUAUCGAGAUAUGAUAGAGUCGGUUAGUGGGCCCGAAAAUAGAAGCCCUGAGAAACCAAAUUAAAAAAAAAAACAAAGCAAAAUAAAAAUAUAAAAUUACAGACCAGCCAACCAGAGGCCGCGUGCCAUUGCUGGUAAGGGCUUGGAUAAUAUAUUAAUUAUCAUGAAGCCCACCAAACCUUAAAAACUCUUUUUAUUGAAGUAUUAUAUUAAUAAAAUUUUUAAUUCAAAAAUAUUAUUUUUUUAUUAAUUUUAAAUUUGCACUUUUGGGACCAGAUUAGUCAAAUUAUUUUCAAGUACGAUUAUUUUAAUGUCCCCGGUAAGGAAACGAACACAUUAUUAUUAUUAUUAUUAUUAUUAUUAUUAUUAUUAUUAUUAUUAUUAUUAUUAUUAUUAUAUAUAUUUAAAUCAAAAUUAUGAAAUUAAUAAUAAAUAAGCAAUGUCAGUAAAUUUGGUCGAUAAUUAAAAAAAAAAAAUCAAAUUUUUGAAGGAGAAAUAAUUCUGAAAGUAAUUAACAAUGUGAUAUAUUCUGAUUGAAAAAAUCUUUCAUUGAAUAAAACAAUGGAAGAUCAUUCAGAAUUGUUUGAUGCCAUUUUUUUUCCUCCAACUCAAGAAGCCAAUAAAAGAAGCAAACUCGAAACCCUAAAGCUCAAGAGCAAAAGAAUAACUAAAAUAUUCUAUGAUAAUCAAAGACUUUUCAAUAAGAAAAAAGAAAAUAAUUAACAAUUUUGCAUGAUUCAUGUAAUAAGAAAAGAAGAAUUGAAAUGAAAUUUUAUAAAAUUAAGCAAGAGUUAACUUUUUUUAAAAUGAAAAUAUUUUAAAUUAAAAAUACAUAAUUUUUUUUAUUUAAAAUAAAAGAAUUACUAAAAAAAUUACUUAAAUUGAAUUCUUAUAAAAUUACUACCAUAAAUUUAAAUAUUGAAAGAUACGAUUUAAGAAUCAGGUAAAUAUUAAAUAAAUCCAAGUGAAGUAAAACUAUUUGAUGGACCAUUUAAACUAAAAUUGUUGAAAAUUUAUAUUAGUAUUUAACAAAAAUUGUUAAGAACCUAAAUUAAUAUUUAAAUUCUAUUAAAUUAAAAUUUUAUUAGAAUUUAAAACAACAUAAAUAAAUAAUUAAAAUAAAAAAUUAUAUUUAAAAAUAACAAAAAAUUAAUAUUCUUAGUGACACUAGGAAACUCUUUAAUUGGAUUUUAUGAAAAUUUUAAGUUAUUUUAGUGAUUUUAUAAAAUAAUUAAUCGUCUAUUGCCUUGAUAAAAUGAUAUUAGAGUUAUUUUAUAUUCUAAUUUCAAUAUAAAUAUAAUUUAAAUUUUUAAAAAACUUAAAAUUUAAUAAUUAAAAAUUAAAGACUAAAUUGGUAUAAAACUCUAUUGACGUGGGAAUUUUCUAUUUUGGCUUAAUAAUUUUUGUAAUUAAAUUAAAAUUACACUUAUUAUAUUUUAAUUGAUAAUUAUGUUUAUUAUAUUUAUUUAGAGUAAACAUAUAUUAUUAAUUAUAUUAUUUUUUAAAAUUUUUAAUAAUAUAAUAAUAAUAUAUAAUGAAAAACUACACAAAUAUAGUUCUCAGAUUUUAUCAUAACUUUUACAUUUUUAAUUUAUAUAAAUUUCGAGAAGAAUUAUUCUUAAUAUAUUGAAAAAUCAUUCAAAGUAUUAGGAAACAUAACCGUUUGUUAAUUAACCUAUGGACUUCAAAAGUAUGAAAUAGUAUAAAUUUAAAUAAUAAUGUUAAAUAAAAAAAUAGAUAAAUUAUAUUUUAAUUUCUAAAUUUUAAUAUAAUUAACAUAUUAAUAUUCUAUUUUUCAAAUCCAACACUUAAAUUCUUAUAUAAUCAAUUAGUCCAAAUUAAAAGUUUAUUUAUUUAUAACUCCGUUACUCAACAAAUCAAAAGGAGAAUAAAUAUUUUAAAUAUUUAAAAUAUUUUCAUGAAUGCUUAAAUCCUUUUUAAUAUAGAUGAAUAAUUUUAUAUUGUGUAAACUACACUUUGCUCCUUAAAUUUUAGCAUAAUUGAUGGAUCGAUCCUUACAUUUUUAAAACUAAAUCUUUAAAUUUCUCUAUAUUUAAUCUGUCUAAAAUUAUAAUUUUUCCAUCUAUUAUAAAUAUUAGUUCAAAACUAGUAAAUGUUCAAAUUUUUUUUGAAAAUAUAAUUUUUUCGUAAAAUAUUCAUUAUAAAAAUUUAUAAUCUACGUAAAGAUUAUUUGGUACCCCUUAAAAAUAGCUGAAAUUAUAAGUAUUUUUUGAAAGUUUUAAAGUUAUAAGUAUUGAAGUAUUUUAAUAAAUAGAAAUUGAAGAAUAAAAAGUGUAAAAAAAAGAGUUAAAUAAUAUAUUAUAGAUAAAAGUUAAUGGAGUACUUAAGUAAAAAAAUAAAAAAUCAAAAUAUUUAAAUUAUAAUAGAUAAGAACGAACGGAUUAUAAAGAGAUUUAAAUAUAUAUUUUUAAAAAUAUAAAAAUUGAUCUAUUAAUUAUGCUAAAAUUGAAGGAUCCAAUUAUAAUUUAUUCAUUUAAAAAGAUAAUAAAAAAAUUUUCACAUUUUUAACGACAAAGAUAGAUGAAGGGUCUCUAAUUUGAACAAGAGAAAUUUAAGUAUUUUAAAAUGUAGGAAUAGAUAUAUUAUUUAUGUUAAAAUUUUUAAAAAUUAAAGUAUAACUUAUUCUAAAAAUAUUGAAAAUAAAUAUCCUGCAAGCUUUUUUUUAAAAAAUAAUUAACUUUAAUUAAGGACCGAAUUCAAACGUCUCAGCCUGAAGAUUAUUUCAUUACCGAUGGUAAUAUACAUGCAAGGUUUAAUCCCAAAAGAAGCAGAGUGAAAAAUAAAGAAGAAUGAAAGAAGGCUACUAUGUCAUGUCCCUCCAACACACAACAUAGAGAAAGGUAUUGUAAAUUGAUAUAUAUACACAAUGAUCAUCAUUAGUCUGAUCGUGUACACCACGCGGAUUCAAGUGGACAACAUUUCACAAAGUCUAAGCUUGCUGAUUUACGACACAAAACACACAUAGGGAAGGUUGUGUUGUGCCCCUUGCUUAGCUAAGUUUACCACCAAAAAUUAUACAAACAUACUGGAAUUACCAUGUUGACAUGUACUAAUUAUUAUGUGUACUUUUCUUUUUCUUUAUUUAUUAUUUUUCUUCUUCUUCUAAUACACACAACUUUGUUCUCUAUAAACUUCUCUUUCAAUAACUGUUGCUCACCGUGUGAUCUUCGCUUCUCCUCCUCCUCCUCCAUCCCUCUCACUCAACUCAAUGCUUGAUCUUUCCUUUUAGUCUCUUUCAGUUGCUGGUGGAGGUUGCCCCUCUCUUUCUCUUUCUCUCUGUGUGUGUAUGGAACUCUUUGUUUCUCUCUAAAAGCAUUUAGCUUGAGCCAUUAUCCGCCACCCUUUUUACGCGCAAAGCUUUUCCAGUAAUCAAGCUUCCAUUUAAGAGAUAAAACAGAGAGAGAUAGACAGACACUCACAGAAUGAAUACUCUCUCUGAUAGAGAGAGAGAAAGAAACAUAUAUUAUUAGGGCAUGUGUGUGUCUCUACUCAUUUCCAUUUUCCUUGCUUCUUAUUUAACCCUACCUUCUCUCUCUUUCCCCCACUCAACCUUUCUUUUUCUUCUCUCUCUCUCUCUCUCUUUAAUUCCUUCCCUUUUCCCUUCUUCGGGAUCUGAUCUCUCUCUCCUGUUCUCCCCUACAAAGUAACACUUGCAUCCACUGGGAUUACAAACACUUCCUUCACUUCAUUUCCCGAGAAACACUUUCUUGUUUCCUUGUUUGUUUCUGUUCACUUUCUUUCUAUAUUUCUGUGUUCUUUUGUCUGGUCCAGUGUUAAAAGGUGAAAGAGAGUCAGUGAUAAAAGCUCUACCCUAAAUCGUCUUACUUCUAAAACGACUGGCGGGUCCAUUAUUCCGUCAACCAGGGUGAACCAGAUCUAACCAGGAGCUUCGCUCGGCUCGGGUCUAUUCUCGAAGAUUAUCAAGGUUGGGUACUAUAUCAUCAAUCUUUACUUUUUCUUAUUCUUCUUCUUCUUCUCCUUCUUCUGAUAUGAUUUCUAAUUCUUGUUUUUUCUUCUAUCUCUUGAGUGCAAAUUCUUUUGGAUUCAAACGCUUUUAUUUGAUGAUUUUUCUCUCUUUUUUCAGUGAUAAGCACUGAUGCCUUAAUUUCAAGCAAACAGAAGAUGCAAUUAAUAAAACUUCAUAUCUUACUGAUCAGUUUUUAUGAGAUAGGAGUUUAAUCUGACUUCUGCUGCUCCCUUUAUUUUGGUAUCAUUUACUCCACUGAUCAUUUUCAUAGCAUGUAUUGAAAUGUUCAGUAUACAAGACUAAUCUUUGAUCUGUUAAUGGUUACAGUAGGUUUCUACGUUCCUUCUUCGUUUUGAGAUGCUUGUAUUGCUCAGAUCCUACUUUACAAAGUCAUGGUCAUGAGCUUCAUAGCAUAUUCUGCUACAACUUAUAUUAUAGGAGAAAUUACAAAUCACUUGAAAAUUCUUGCAUUGUUCAAUUUUGGAAUUUCCUCCACCUUGGUAUGAAAAAUGUCUGCUAGUUAUAAUAAAGAUCUGUAUGUAUCGAAGAACACUGAAUACCCAUGUUAAGACAUGUAUAAUUGCAAGAUAUCAUUUUGCACAUCAUAAUUUUUUACCAUAAUUUUGUCAUUUCAUCAUAUAAUUCCCCCUACUACAUGUUUCACAAAGUAAAGCUAUUGAAUUUUGAUUCACUUUUCUCAGUGGAGAACGCACUUUUUCUAUAUGUACUAAAAUUUUCUUUCAUGUUAUAUAUAUAUAUAUAUAUAUAUUUGAAAUAAAAUGAAAUUUAAGUUCAUUAUAUUUCUGAUCGACAUGUUAAGUCUCAUGAAAGGUUUAGUGAAUACUUGCUAGUUCAAGUUUAAGGCAUUAUAUCUCAAUGUGCUUUAUUUUACUUAUAGAAAAAUCCAAGUAUGAAUUUUUCUUGAUAUGUCAGAAACUGAAUUGCAUUAUAUAAUUAACUUAGAGCUUUUAAAAGAGAAGAAGAAAGUUUCCUAUUGCAUAUAUACUUUUCCUGAAUGUCUAUAAAUGUCUUGUAUUAGGUCUUAGCUUUUAAUGUUUGACAUGCGCAGUAGAUCUUUGAUUCAUGCAGGAAAUAAAGGAAUAGCCAUUGUCAAGAAACCUUUCAAUUUAAAUGUUCAAGUUUGUAAAUGAGGAUUUGCGAAGUUUUCAUUGACAUUUUAAUGAAAAUUUUAGCUUAUAACAAAUAUCUUUGUCUUAACCCUAGAGUUUUCAAAUGGAGUCUCAAGAAUAAUUUUACAUCCCUAGAAACCCUAUUUGUCUUAAUACUUCGAUGAUUGAGUUUAACAAGAAGUAUGUUUUAAUAUUCUUUGGUACAUUUAAUUUAUUUUGGACUACAUUGUUUUCUUUCCCAAGCAUUAAUGAGCAACUCCAAUAUGUUAAAUUAUAACACGAAACCUUAGUGAAAGACCAUGUUCUCGUUUUCGGGAGGUUACUACGUACGUACAUUCGUAGUUUAUUUUUUUCUUCAUAAUAAGCAUUAUGUGCUGUUCUUCCUUUGUGUAAACUGAGACAAAUCUUUUCUUUGUUUACUCUUGUAUAUAUUAAAAUAAGCAACAGGAACUCGAACAUAUAGUUGCUGUCUGUAUUGUUAAUUAGCUGUUAAAUUUCAUAUCGAUUUGGAAUAUGGAUAAUGUAUCCUUAUAAGAGUAUUAAGCAUUCUCCUUCUUGAAUUAGCUUUUAGAGUAAGUUAGCCAUAACCGAAAUUUAAACUGUAUCGGAGCCUCUCACCGAUAUUGGAUCUUCUAUAAAUAUGUUAUAGUGUUGGUAUUCCCACAAAAUAAAAUUGCUGAAUUUGUUUGCCUCUACACCGUAAGAAUUAGCUUGCUGAUGACUUGAUAGCUUGCUUUUUAUAUACUCCCUCCAUUCCUUAAUAAGUAUCCUUUACAAUUUUUUUUUUUUCAAUUUAAGUGUUCAUUUAUGAAAUUAAGAUAUUUUUGUAAAUAUAUUCAAAUAUUAUCCUUAUUAAUAUUAAUCAUGCAAUUAAUAAAUUAUAUGGUUUUAAACAUUUUAUAAAGAUUUUAGUAAAAUAUAAGCCCCAUUAAUUUAUUCUAAGUAUUAUCUUAAUCCUAGUGAGAUUGGCAAAAGAAACACUUGUUAAAGAAGGGUGGGAGUGGUCAUUGAGACAUGGUUAUUUCUUAAAUUUAGAAGAAGCAAGUCUUGUAAAAGAGGAAGCAUAGGGUUUGAUGCGUGUCUAAAUUAAAAGUACUUAAUGAGACAAAUUAUCAUUUACUUGCUUUGAAAGUGAAGAAAUUUAAUAUCAACUUUAGUUGGCAAAACGCCACAAAAUUAUGUUGGAGUAGUCACUGUUAUUUGCAUUACUUUUACUUGUCAGCCUGACGUUUGCAUCAGCAUGGAAGCCGACAGGACAGUAAACUUCGAAAACAUAAAAUUUUCUUGCUUGUGAAAAUGGAGACGAUGCAUGUUGAUAUAUAUCCUUAAAUUUUUUGCCUGGAGGUUGAUCGAUCCUGUGGCAUUUUACUGCAGGAUUUUUAGUUCUCGAAAGAGUAUGAAUACCUUCUCACAUGUUCCGCCAGGCUUUAGAUUCCAUCCGACAGAUGAGGAACUUGUCGAUUACUAUCUCAGAAAAAAGAUUGCUGCAAAAAGGAUUGAUCUCGAUGUAAUCAAGGAUGUUGAUCUUUACAAAAUUGAACCAUGGGAUCUUCAAGGUAGUUAUAUUUUUUUUAUUUGCUAGUGAUAAUUGGAAUAUCAAAUUUAAUUAGUUUCUUGCUUUAUAUAUUGGUUAACUGUUGUUUAUUUUGAUAGAGUUGUGCAAAAUAGGAACUGAAGAGCAGAAUGAGUGGUAUUUCUUUAGCCACAAGGAUAAGAAGUAUCCGACAGGAACUCGAACUAAUAGAGCAACAAAAGCAGGGUUCUGGAAAGCUACAGGAAGAGACAAGGCUAUCUAUUCAAGACAUAGCUUGAUUGGCAUGAGAAAAACCUUAGUGUUUUACAAAGGAAGAGCUCCAAAUGGACAAAAAUCAGAUUGGAUCAUGCAUGAAUAUCGACUAGAAACUAAUGAAAAUGGAACUCCUCAGGCAAGUCCUCAAUUUUCUUUUCUUUUCUUUUUUUUUUCUUUUUGUUUUAUAGUAGAAAAUUUCUUUUUGAACACUAAAAUUAAUUAGAUUUAGAAAUUAUUUCGGCAUCAGUUCAUUUUUAGUAUCAUUAAUUAUAUAACCCAGUUGUGCGUAUGUCAUUCUAUUUAAAACAGCUUCAAACAAUGUUAUUAGCUGCUAGAACAACAUGAUUUCUGCACUUCCUACAAAAAAUUAAAAUAAUAAUAAUAAAAAAAAGGGAGUUCAUAAAGACAAUAAGAAAUGCACAUUAUUGAAUUCCACAUGUGAGUAAACAUUUAUUCGAUGAAGUUCAAAUUUAGUGAGGCUAAUAUGAAAUUAUAUGUUGUGAUUGCACCAGGAAGAAGGGUGGGUAGUAUGCAGGGUGUUCAAGAAGAAAAUGCCAACAAUCAGGAAAGUUGGAGAAUAUGAGUCGCCAUGUUGGUACGAUGAGCAGGUCUGCUUCAUGCCAGAAAUGGAUUCUCCAAGGCGAAUUACUCAACCUUACGCAUCAUACCUCCACCACUAUCCUUGCAAGCAAGAGUUUGAGACAUUGCAAUAUAAUAUGCCUCAUGACCCUUUACUCCUCCAGCUUCCCCAGCUGGAAAGCCCCAAAGUUCCACAGUCAGCUGCAAGUGCCAACUGCAACUCCAGACUCCCAUAUGGUGGUUAUGAUACCAACAAUGGAAGUACCCUGCAGUCCUCAACUCUUACACAGGAUGAACAACAUCACCAAAAUUUGAGCUCACUUUACCAUAACAAUGGUGAGCAAGCUGUGGAUCAAGUAACCGAUUGGCGAGUCCUUGACAAAUUUGUUGCGUAUCAGCUUAGCCACGAGGAUUCUUCCAAGGAAGUCAGCUACUCCAAUGCGGCAGCCUUUCAUGUUGCUGAACAGGUGAACGUGCUUGCCAGUGAAUCAAAAAGGCCAGAAAAUGUUCAGGAAUAUGCCUCAACGUCAACAUCUAGUUGCCAAAUUGAUCUAUGGAAGUGAUCAAAAACACAAAUCUUAUAUGAAGUUAAUUACUAGAGAUGCAUAUUAAUUAAUUAUAGAUACUACAGUUUAUAUGAAAAAGAAAUAUCGAGGAUCCAAGUGGCUGUACAUAAUAAAAUUAAAAAUUGUAUUGGACUUAUUGUGUCCAUCAUCAAAAUAUUUGAUGAGACUAUGUAUGAGUUAGUAAAUAGAGUGCAAAUGCCAAAUGCAAAUAAGUUGGUACUCUUUGUGGCUGAGGUUUAUGGGGACUGACUCAGCUGUUGAAUGUUGAAUGUAUGUUUUUGUUUUAUCAUUUUUUUAAUUAUUUUUUUCAACCUACAUAAUUUGUAAACUUUUCUAUUUCGAUUAUAUAUAUGAUGUCUACAACUAGAGAAAGCAUCAACUUAAUUUUCAAUAUAAUUAUGAUUGGAAACAUUUUCUAGAAAAAUAUUUUUUUAUAUUUUUAAUGUUUUGAUAUUAAUCUGAUCAAAGGGAAAAUUAAUUUAUUUUUAAGAAAAAUGACAGACUCUAACUUGUAAAACAAGAAAUUCAUUUUCUAGAAUUAAAAAAUUUUAUUAACACCCUUAAAACUUUUAUAUAAAAAUUUAUUUUAAUAUAACUGUUUUAAUAUUGCAAUUAAACAAUAUACAAAAUUAUUUUCCACAAAGGAAUGAAGAAGCCUAAGCUGGAUUUUUUUUCUUCUUUAUUUAGUUACUAUAGAAUUAUAUUAAUUCAGUAGCACUCUGAAGCUAGUUAUCUUGAUCAGAAAAUGAAAAGCCUAAACUAACUAGUGGCUGAAACCUCAUAUAUAACUCUUAACUAAAAUGGGAGAAAGUUAGCCGCAGAGAGAGAGAGAGAGAGAGAGAGAGAGAAGAGAGAAUUGAUUACAAAUUAAUAAGCUACUAUUCAAAGAAUGCAUGCAGAAGAUAAAGGCUUCAAAUGACGGUUUCUUCAUCCACUUAAUUUUAGUUUGUUUAUCUUCUUUAGCAUGCACAAAGCCUCAGAUUCUAAAGAAACUUUCCCACCCUAUUCUAAGUCUGAACACAUACCUCUGCAAAAAGAAAAAAGGACUAAAAUGGACUCCUCCAGAAGUAUGUAUUAACCCUUCGAAUGGCUAUUUUCUUUUCUUGAAAUUUAGCUGGCCAUAACGAUAAUAACCAAAGCUGCGAAGCACAAGAACCAACAGCUUUUCAAGAUUAGAUACAUGGAAGCAUACAAGGGAUACCAAAUAAACAUACUUGAAUAAUGACCCACCUCAGCUUAAUUCUCUAGCUGCGAGAACCAGCCUGUGAUUUAGAUGAUUAUUGAAGAAGAGGAAGAAGGUAGAAUUUGAAAAUUUACCUGGGGAUUUAAAUAGUCGAUGGGCUGCAGGAAGCAAUUAAAAGUAUAGGAGACUCAUAAUGGAUAACAAGACUGACUAGUAAGAAAAGCAUGUUGGUUUUGGUGUUAUUGACCUGGACACAAACUCUUACUUGGGUUGAAGUCAAGCAUUAAAAUCCCUUUAAAGCAAUGGAAAUUUUUCCAAGCGACAUAAUGAGUAAGCGUGCUCUCAUGGACUCACCAUUAUCACAAACAGAGGAAGAGGGAUAAAUAGAGAAACCAGGCCAUAAAGUGAGUGCUCUUGCUGACCAAGUUUCACAUGCAGGAUUUGUCCUUUCGUGUUAGGGUUUUAUAUAUGCAAGGAUUUCAAUAUUCAUCCAUGCAUUUCUUGUGAUAAAAAGACAUUAACCGAGAAUUUCCCUUUCAUUGUGUCUUGUUUCAAUUCAGAAGAAAGAAGAAGCUCAGUUAAGCACGCACCUUCCCUACUAGCCCAAAAUAAGCAUGUCAUGCGCAUUGAUUCUAUGAACGUCAAUGUGAGUGAAUAAUUAGGGUUUACAUUUAAAAACGUUGUUUGCAUAUUAAGUAAGAUAACAUCAUUGACCAUGUGACGCAAACAACCCCCAUGUGAGGCACUAUUAUUACUAUGCUUCCUUAGCCUCCCAGAUCCCCACGGAAAUUUAAUCAAUUCAACUAUUUUAUUUGUCAUAUGCAUAUGGCACCAUUAAAGUGACAGCAAGCCGAAAUCGGCAGAUGAUUUGCAUCCGAAAAAUAGACAAAAGGGUACCCAUUUGGCCAUUUCCCAGCAAAAACAAGAGUUCUGCUUUGGUGCUAUAUAUUUAUUAAAAAAUAAGAAAAAUAAAAUAAAAUCUUACCUACUUUUUCAGCAUGCAUGAGAUGGCUCUGACAUGAUCAAUUCCAAAGCUUUUUGGCUUACUCACAGCUUUAAAAGAAAAGAUGCAUAACGAGCCAUUUUCAACCGGUUGGCAUUAACUGGAGCAAGGUAUAAUUUCCAACAUUAUGAAGUAGCUACGUGACAAAAGGAAUAUACGUAGAGAUACUGUUAUGUCUCGGAAGCAAUACAAAUACGUAGCUGUAGCACUAAUUAAUCAUAGUAGUGGCAUGUCAUUAAAGCGGCAUUCUAGUUAUUCGCAGUUAGUCAAUGGAUGAGCAAUUCGUGCAUGUCCCUUGAGGAGAAGAAGAGGAAAGAGAAUUGACAGGGUAGGCGGGCACAUUCCCUGAUUUGGUAAUGCCUGAAGGCCAACCGUCAAGGGGGCAAGCACUUCUUGGCUUUUUCAUUAAUUAAUGUUUCGCACUCUUUUUUCCCCCAACUUUUUAGUUUAUUUUCUUGGAUUUCCUGUCCACUUUAAAAAAGAAAAAGUAGAGAGCAAGGAACUUGAUUAGAUUUGUUUAACGGUUGAUCGAUGCUUGACUUGGGAGUUGAGACAGCCUUAUCUACCGCUGUACUGUGACGACAUCAUCUUACGUAGAGAGAACCAUUUUUACUCAUAAUUAAUACUUUUUUCAUUUUAUAAGAAUUAUCGAUUUAGAUAAAUUUAUUUUAAAAAUUUUAAAGUAAUAUUAAUUUUUUAUUUUUCAUAUAUAUUUUUAUUAAUUUUUAAGACAUUUAAUAUUAGAAAAAAAGUAAAACUAUUGAAAGGAUAUUUUAGAUAAAUUAUUAUAAAUUUUUUUAAAAUUAAAAUUAUUAAUUUAAAUAUUAUGGAUUAUGUUAUUCAAAGCAAGGCUUGAUCUUUCAAGUUGGACAAAGGAGCAAAGUGCACCUAAAUAAGGCAUAAAUGGUAGCUUCCCAUUUAGGGUAGGUUGCUAAUCUGCCAAAUGCCUAAUGGUUAUUAUAAAUUUAGGAAUAGCUAGCUAGAUUUUAUUGAAUAUGCUUCGAUUGCUCUAUGGUCUCGGCCAUGCCUCCAUAAUAUCAAGAGCGAUAAUAACUAAGCAACAAUAAUUUUGAGAAGCCAGGGCCUCAUGCAGACAUAAUAAUUGUACAACGUUGUGUACACGUCCCUACCUCUGCUUUUGUCCAACUCUUUUUUAAUUGUUUACGUUUUCAUCUUCAAUUGGACCAUUUCCUGCUGUAUAAUUUGACUUGAGCACAGAAACAUUACACAGAUAGUUGUAAUUUUUCCUUUGUCAAACUUUUUAGUAGUAGCGAUUUAAUUUGCACAACUUGGUUUGAUGGGUAAAAACAAUAUUUACAUAGAUAGAUAUGCAUGGGAAGGUUUUGCAGAGAUUAAAUAAAAUGGGUCACUUGGCAUCGCAGAGUCCAGUGCGUUCAUCGCAGAAGCCAUCACGAUCUAGCAGUUUCUGUGGCGGAGCACUUAUAAGAGGAGAAGAUGGGCUACCAUACGCAUUUCUUCUGCUGUUUCCGCAACCUAAGCUUUUUCUGGUGCUUACUCCAGUUAUUGGAUUUGUUCCAUUUGCAUACUUACAAAGAGCCUAACCCAAAACCAGCUAUUAAAAACUGUUCAUUAUUCCUAGUAAGACCAAAAUUAAUGUGGUACCUGCUUCUGGGGAAGGUCCAAAACAGCAUCACUGAAGUCAGCACCUUCAAUUAUGGCACCUCCAAGAUCACUCCGAGUCAGAACCGUUCUAACAAGCACAGCAUUUGUGAGGUUGGCCUCGUUCAGAACCUGCAUUUAUAUCUCUCAUCAUUCUUCGACUUGACAUUUUUUUUUUUUUUUUUUUUUUGGGUUUGGUAAGCCCCUAUGAUUAAAUUGUUACCUACUAAAAAUAAAAGAGAAUCUGAAGCAAAUGCCUUCAGAUUCAUAAGAAUUACAAAAUAAAGCAACAUCGAUCUGUCAUACCAUUCGGUCCAUCAAGGUGUCGCUCAAAUCAGCACCUGCUAAUUGUCAAAAGAAACUAACAAUUACUGCCUUAUUAUGAAUAGCCAACAGCUGGAAAUUUACUUCCCUAUGACAAAGGAUCUGUCGAUUACAGUAGUGCUUUAAUCAUAUUUUUGCAAUGAAUAAAAAUUAUUGUUGAAAUUAUAACUUUGUUAAAUAUAAACAAACUAUUUAUUAAAAUUAUUAAUACAUACAGUAAGAAAAUUGAAAACUUUUUACAACAAUUUUAAAAUUAUUGUUAAACUUUUGCCUUAUAAUAGAAAACUGAUAUUUAAACUAAUGUCAAUUUAGCUUAACCAACAAAUUUAAGGGCUUAUCCUACUCGGAAUAUUUACUUUAAAAUCCACAAUUUUAGGAAUUUAUUAUCAGAUCUAGGCUACAUUUGUUUAGUAAUAUUUUCCACAUUUUCUAACAUUUAGAGUAAUUAGAGAAAUUAAUCAACAGAAAAAUUAAUAUUCAGAAUAAAGAAAAUUCUAAAAAAACAAUCUAAAUAUUUUUACAACCAUUGCUUAUUCUAAAAAAGAAUUGAAGAAAAAAAACAUAGUUCUAAUAGAGGAUAAAUUAUUAACAGGUUCUUAUGUUUUAUCAUAAAUUAACUGCUUAGCCUUUUUUUUUACAAAUUAUUUAAUUAAAAUGUUUAUAUAUUUUAUAAAAUUAAAACUUUUUAAUUUUUUUUUAUAUAUAUUAGUCAACUUAAUUUAAUUUUAAUUAGAAAAAAUUAAAUAAUAUAAAUAUUUAAAAUUAUUGGUAUUAAAUAAUUUAAUAUAAUUAAAAUUACAAGACAAAAAGCAGUCAAAAUAUUUAAAAUUAAAACCAGUAAAAUUUUUUUUAUUAUAUCUUUUAAUUACAUAAAAUAUAGAAAUACUUUAAUUAAGGGAUUGAAAAAAUAAAGAUUAUAUAAUUAAUUUGAACAAAAUAAAGGAAGCUCCAUAAACUUUAAAAAGAAAUUGUUACUUAGCCUUGCGUUCGCGUCUCCCUACGACGUCGUUACCUAGUCUCUAUAAAAGGGGUUUGGUUACCUAGCAGGAUUUUACUUGCAGAAAGAUGAACCCUGAUGAUUUCUAUUUUUCUCCGAUGAUGGUUGAGAAUUGAGAAACUAUAUGCGUAUUUGCAGAAUCUUUGAACAGACCCGUUGAAUCCAGCAAAAACAGAGGUCAGAUCAGUUUGUCAACAUGCGUUUAAAUUUGGAUUAAGUUUUUCUGUUCGUCGGUAUUUUUUUAAUGUUAUGUUCACGGUGGUGUGCCUAUUUGUUAUGACAUUUUACGAGAAAGAAAAAUUCUCUCUUUUGAUUUCCCUUUGGAAUUAAUUUUAACCAUUGAUGAUUUCGAUGUUAUUUUAUUGAUUUUUCGUGUGUACUUUUUCUAUGCAACAAAAAGAGAGUGGGAACCGAAUUUUUGUUAAUAAAGCUUUAAAGAAUGUAAUUGAAUUGAUUUUCCCCCUUCCCUUUGCUUCUUCUUCUUUAGCUUAAUUGGUAAGAUAGAUCGAUGAGGCUGCAGGUAGGAAUUUUGUUAAUUAUUACCACUAUUUGCAUUCUUGUUGAAGAACUUGGUUCGCAAGUCAUUGUACAGAAAAAUUUAUGUUGUAAAGGAAUCAUAUUCACCUAGAAUCAGAAAUAUUAUGUCAGCGAGAGAUAAGUCAGAGUUUAUAAUGAAAAUCUGUUGAUAGAUAAGAUAAAAGUUUUGGUUUUCAAAGCAAGUUUUUAUUAUUUUAUUUUAUUUCCUUUCUGUUUUAUUGCUUCAGAAUUAUUCUGUAUGGUGUUUGUUUUAGUUAAAGGUUCUGUUCUGCUGUGUGGCAAAACAUAAAACUUUGGUUCAGAGCAGAAAAAUAAAGAUCCGAAAACGUACAGUACUUUUGUUAAUGGUUUGGUGAAAUUCACUUUGGGUGAUGCAGAUACAUAUCAGAAGUCUUGAAGUUGUAGAGAAUCAACAUGCUUUCAGAAAAUAGAUAUGAUUCUUCCAAAAUGAGUUUCAAAAGUAACGCAUUGAAUGUUGAAUGUGCUUCUUCUGAUGUUCUAAUCAAGCAUAGAAAGAGGAUAAUUGGAGCUACUAGGGAUUUUCCUAUAGGUUGUGGUCCCUCUAAAAGAUUUUGCACUGAAGCGUUAAAAAACUCGGUUCACUUUGAGAUGCCAGGCAUAUUAGAUGAUUUAAAGUCUAAAGAGAAUGUAACUGUUUCAUUUGAUAAGAGGGAAGACCUUGGAUUGGUAGCGGAAGUUGAAUUGCUACACAAAGUUUUGCAAGAUUCUUUGGAUACUGUAGGAUUGGUGAACCCCUUAGAAAUUUCAGUUUCUGAAGCUACUAAAUUGCCAACUAAAUUUGCCCCUUGGAGAAGGAUUUCAGCUAUUCGAUGCUUCCCUCAGGGUUGUGGAAGAAAGACUCAACAAGUCGAUAAAGAAGUUGCCCCAGAAUGUGUAUCUUUAGAAACCAAAGGAUUAGGUCCCCAUACACCUGAUGUGGACAUAUUAAGAAAGAAGGAAGAGACAAUUGGAAAGGAUAAGCAUCAAAAGAAUGUUGCAAAUCCUAGUAAAACUAAUGUAUUUCAAUCAUACUCUGAAUGCUUCGAGACUAACAAGGGGAAACCGCAUGAUAUGGACAAAUGCCUUGAUGGAAAAUUAUCAGGACGUAGCAACAGUCAUCCAUCACAGGAAAAAGCCUCUGACCAUAUGGAGGUUCCUGGACACCGGGUGGUAGUUCUGGCAUUGAUGGCUGCACCAAAUUGUCCAAGGAGAAAUCGGAAAAGGGGUUCGAGAUUGAGACCAACAAAUGAUGUGGCUAAAACCAAGGCUAAGAAGCAUUAAUUUUGUUGGAGUUGUUGAGAUUUUUGUAGAAGAAAAUUUUCUGAUGUGAUUGGGUUAGUUUAAUAGGAAUGGACUUUCUUAAUUUUAGCUAAAAAUGGAUUGUUUGUUUGUGUUGUACUAGGUGGAGUUGAUAGCUUUAUAAGGCUUUUUCCUUGCCCGUAAAAAGGAGUGUUUACUAUUGUAAAAAUUAGGAAGUGCUAGAAAUUUGAGUGUUGAGAGCUGGAAAAACGAUGAAGAAAAAGAAGAAAAAAUUGUCUUGUGCUCUAUUUUUUAUUAAUGAAAUCUAAAGUUAUUUUCUCUCCAUCUUUUUUUCUUUUGUUGUGCUAUUUUGAAACUUUGAUCAUUUGUUUAUUGAAAUUGAAGUUUUAUCUUUAGUUUUGUUGCUGGACAUUUGGUAAUCUUUUAUAUAUAAUUAUAUACUUUAUUUUUCUCGGUUUUAUGUUUAUCGUUUUUAGAUAGCCAUUGUUCAUUUUAGCUAACUAUUUUUCGUUCUAAAUUCAAUAGGGGUAUCAACUUGUUUUUAUUUUUUAAUAUGGUUUUAGAGUUUCUUUUGAUUUUUCAACAUGAUAUCAGAGUCUAAAUAAUUUUUAAGGUUCCAUUUUUUCAAAAUGUUUGGGAAAGUUUGAUUUUUAUGAUGAUUGUUGUUUCCUCCAUUUUUCUCCAUUUUCAAGUUUGAACAAGCUACGAGAGCUUAAGUUUUAUUUCUUUGUUUGGGAGGUUUUUCUGAAAUUUAUGAGGGAACUGACAAGUCCAUAAACUGCAAAACUUAUUUGAAGAAACCAACAAAUCUAUAAACUGGUGCACAUCCAUAAACUGCUAAACUUUGUGAAUGUGUUGGUAAAAGGCUUUUAGCCAUUUUUCUUCAUGAAUCUUGUUUGUUUGAGGAGGAGAUUGAAGAUUAAAUUUGAAGAAGCAAAAAUCUCAAGAAAAGAGUGUUGGAGUUGCUGAAAUUUUUGUGGAAAAAUUCUUUAUGAUGUGAUUAGGUUAGUUCAAGAGGAAUGCGCUUCCUUAGUUUUAUCUGAAAAUAGGUUGUUUGAUUGUGUUGUAUUAGGUGGAGUUAUUGGUUUUGUAAGGCCUUUACAUAUAAAAAUGAGUAUUUGCUGCUGUAAAAAUUAUAAAAAAUAGGUUGUUUGAUUGUGUCGUAUUACGCGGAGUUAUUGGUUUUGUAAGGCUUUUUCUUUACAUAUAAAAAUGAGUGUUUGCUGCUGUAAAAAUGAGAGAGAGAGAGAAAAUGCUGGAAAUUUGAGUGUAAAAUUGAAAAAAUGAAGAAGAAAAAAUUUUCUUGUAUUGUUUUUAUUAAUGAAAUAUGAAGUUAUUUUCUCUCCAUCUUUUUCUCUCUUUUAUUGUGUUAUUGAAGUUUUUAUUAUGUGUUUGUUAAAGUUUAAGUUCCUAUUUUUAACCUUAGGUUGGACAGUGAUGUCAGCUUGUUUUUUUUUAUUUCUUAACAUGUUAUCAGAGUUUAUUUUGAUUUUUCAACAAAUUUAGAACGAGGUAUAAUAGUUGCCACAGUUAUAAAUUAAUAUUUUGCUAGGAAAAUUUGUGCCAAAGCAUCAUUGAGUUACUCUGUCUACAAAAGGAUAGAGUCUUGUGAGU
RNAcentral lists this long non-coding RNA (48751 nucleotides) under Manihot esculenta (cassava). RNAcentral's name for it is "long non-coding RNA (MESC_LNC000460)". The record is from RNAcentral. Lineage: Eukaryota; Viridiplantae; Streptophyta; Magnoliopsida; Malpighiales; Euphorbiaceae.